This 51421-nucleotide long non-coding RNA is filed under the name Malus domestica (apple). Its description in RNAcentral is "long non-coding RNA (MDOM_LNC009787)". The record is from RNAcentral. Lineage: Eukaryota; Viridiplantae; Streptophyta; Magnoliopsida; Rosales; Rosaceae.
ACAACCACCAAGAUCAACAACCAACUUUAUUAUUCACUUAACAAUAUACGGCCCUCGUAUAUUAUUAAUAUCAAACAACAAACACUGCUAAAAUAUUAUCCCGAGAUUGAAGAAGGUGUCACAGCCCAACAAGAUGAUCAAUGAUUUACAUGACUGUGCAAGCUGAGGGAUUUUCUUCACAAUACCCCCUGCUGCCACCGCCGUAACUGUCAUACACUGGCCUCCCAUAGUAACCAUCAUACUGGAUGUACGGGGGUGGUCCCCCACCAUAACCACUGUAGCAUGGCCCACCUGCAUGCCCAUGGUAACAAUCCGUACAACAUGUUCGGACAGGCGGUGGGUACCCUGGCACACAAGGAACCGGCUGCAUAGGAGGAGGACAAGGCUUCACUGGCUCCACCGGUGGUUUAGGUUUUUCAGGAGGUGGUUUAGGCUUUUCGGGAGGCGGUGGAGCCGGUUUAGGUUUUUCGGGAGGCGGUGGAGCCGGUUUAGGUUUUUCGGGAGGUGGUUUCUCAACCGGCGGCGGUGGCUUGGGCUUCUCUGGCUCUUUGAUCUCGAUGCUUUUUAUGGCACCUCCACCUUUGCAGCAAAUCUUGUCUCUUAUCUUUUCUGGACUACAGCAUACCACUUUGAUCACCACUUGGUUUUGCUUCUCGUCGUAUAUCUGGUCUCGUAUUUCUCUUGUUCACAAACACACAUUAAUUUACUUAGUCUACAAUUAAUCUUAAUUUUCCAAAAAGGUAGAACUUUUGAUUUUUCAUCAAAUAAUUAUAAAUGAAGCAAGGAGAAGAGAGACUCACGAGGGAAUUUACAAAGAACUUUUUUGACUUUCUUGUAGCAUUUGUGACACUGAAGAUCCACCUUCAGCACCAUAAUCGUAACCUGAAUUACCCAUAUUAAUAUUAAUAGAAAAAAUAUGUACAUUAACCAAAUAUUGACAAGAAUGAAUAUUCAGAAAAUGUAUAAAUAAUACAGAAGAUUGUUGUGCAAAAGUGUAGACAAAAAGAAGUGGAACAGUGCUGCUGGACAAUCAGGGUUCUUACUGACUGACUGGGAAGAAUCAUGAUGAAGGUAUGUGGCAAAGUCAGUAACAGAGAGAGAGAGAGAGAGAGAGGGGAAAAAAACAACAAAAUAGCACAGAGGAGGGGACUUGGAUUCUUAUUAGGAUAUAAAUAAAAGAAUAGGAACCACAAAACUUAAACAAGAGCUUAAAGCCUUUUAGUUUUAGCCAUACAAAUCAUCAUUUUGGUUAUCUGCUUAUCCUCAGAAGAAGAAAAAAUGAAGAGAACACAAACUAUACCAAAUAUUGCGUACCUUUUCCUUUUCCCCCAUUGUAGUGAGUAGUGGAUGCUCUCAGGCUCAGAUCUAAAGGAUAACUUCUCAACUAAAAUGAUUGAAUGGGACAACUACUCUCACAGAACUGACUUAUAUAUAUACAAAAAUAUAUAAAAAUAGGAAUACAAUUCGGUGGAACAAGGUAAAGGGAAAGAGAAGGAGGGCAGUAUUUGAUUGAAGUGGUUUAUUAAAAAAAAUCAUGACAAAUUGCUUGUUAAGAAAGGUUUCUUAGGGAUCAAGAGGAUUUCGUGAUUGUAACCGUUCAUCGUAUAUUAUGUGAUCAGUUUUCGUUAGAUACUAUUUAUAUUUAUUUUAAUUUUUAAUUUUAAAAUAAUUUCUGAUCACACGAUAUACGAAGAACUAUCACGAUCACGAAAUUCUCAUAAUCCCCAAACGAGGAUCCUUUGCCGUUAAGAAAGAAUGAAAAAAAAAAGAGCGCGCACAAUAAUUCGUACAUAGGGCCAAUGGGAUGCUGAUAUUGGAAGGUUGAUUUCGGCCCCGUUUGGGAUUGAGAUGAUUUUAAAAAAAGUCACUGUGAAAAAAAGCUGAGGGUCAUUUUUGUGUUUGGUAAACUGAAAAAAAAAAGCUUAUUUUGGAAGCUGCUGUGAGAAUAAGCUGAAAAUCAAAGGAAAAGCUGAAGCUGCUAUUUGCUGCUUUGAAAAAAAGCCAAUUUUUUCAAAGCACACGGAGCUACAGUGCUCCUUUAAUGAAAAGACACACUAUCAUCCUGCUUUUUUUUCCAAAAGCACUUUCACAAAAAAGUUUACCAAACACUCUACUGGCUUUAUUUCACAGCCGCUUAUUCUCACAGCACAACCGCUUAUUCUCACAGCAGCUUUUUUUCAAAGCACAACAAUACCAAAUCAGCCAUUCAUGCUAUGGUGGACAAAAGCUUCAUUGUAACUGUAAUACGGGUAGUACAUUACGUGUAAGUGAUGAGAAAUUUUAUUUUUUAAGUUAUUAAUUUUUUUUAACAUAAAUAUUUUAUAUUUUUAUAAUAACACGUGAUAUACCAUUUUAUAUUUUAGAUUGAAAAAUAUCUCGCUGUAAUGAUUGUGGGUUGUCGUUAUACGAAGUGACUUUCUGAUGGUCGCUAAAAGUUGCAGUUUCUUGCAUAUGCAUGUGCUGGCUUUGAUUCACCCACCUCACCUUCCAUACUUUCCAACUUCCUGCUAAUAUUAUUAUAAGUAAAUGAUUAAUUAUCAAAAUAAAAUUACAUCCUAAGUUAAUUAUAAUUAUUAAAGUUCACAUAGAGUUUGGUGGGCAGGAGAGCUGCCAAUAUUAUUUCAAGAUCGUCAUAUUAAUGGAGAAAAAACUCUAUUGUAAGGUCGAUAGUUUGGUCAAGUACAAUUAUGGAUCAUGCACCCCCACAUGGCACAUGGAAGUUCCUCCAGUUGUCCCUACAUCUUAAGUAACAACAGGUGCCACCCGUCUUUGACCAGCUACUUGAAGUUUGGUUUGUUAAUCCAAACCGGUGAAGAAACGUCUAGUAAUUAGGGUAACGACUUGGAUGCAAUUGAUACGUCAUCAUUUUAGAACCACACGUACAUACAUGAUGCAAUCAUAUAUAUGUGGAAUUUGGCGUAGAAAGAAAGAAUGUGAUAAACCCUAUAAUCUGCAAUGUACUGGAGAGAGAAUGGAUGAUCAUAAUUGAAAAAGCGUGGGCUCCAGACGGCGAAGGUGUGGCUACUGCCUCGGAAAGCCGUUCCAAGUGUCCCAACUUCAUAGAGGUGGGUUGGCUCACACGAUAGUGGUUGAUCAAUCCGAUUUGAUCUUUUCUUCUUGUUUAAGGUUUUAGUGAUCCAUUUAUUAAGUGCAUCACAGCUCAGUCAUUUGUACGUAAGACUUGAUAUGUUUAGUUUUGAUACAACUAGGAUGAAUAAAUAUCCAUUGGUUUGGAUGGUCGUGGUUAUCCGUUCAUUUAAAUUUCACGGUUACGGUUAUAGAUAACUGUUUAGAUAAAUAAACGGUUAUGGGUAUAACCAUUUACCCGUGAAAUUUAAAUUGACGGUUAUGGGUAUUAAUCGUGGUUAUAAACGGGUAACCAUUUACCCAUUUAUUUUAUAUAUGUAAAAUUAACACAAACCAUGUUCCCUAUCGGACAAAACUUAGAUCAAUGUUAUUGACUGUAGUGCAUGAUUUCUAUAGCUAAUAUAAUAUAACUUUCCUUAACCACUUUAAAUUUCAUGAUCCAAUAUAUAUAUAUUAUGUUAAUAUUUUACAUUCUGAGUUAAAUAACCCAAGAAUAUUGUCUUUUAACAAUUCUCGUAACCCAAUAAUACUUAGCAAAUUUUAUAUUUGUUAAGGGUAGUUAGGUAAAGUUGUGAUAAGUUUGUUUUACUUUACUUAGCUAUUAAGAUAAGUAGUGAGAACAUAUGUAAAUGAUGGUAUAUAUAAUACCAAGUGUAAUAUUAUUCAGAAAUAUAAUUCACAAUUUUAUUUCUUCUCUCUCUCUAAACUUUCUUACUAAAUCUCUCUCUCUCUAAACUCUCACAUGGUAUCACUCGCCGGUGUCUAACGACCUCCGACGAUCCUUCGUCUCUCUGCGUUCUCUGCGUUCUCUGUGUUCUCUCCUUUUGCUUCUUGUCGCUACCAACAAUGGCGGUUUCGUCUCCCUCUGAUUCUACCUCGCAGCCAUCUUCUGCAGAUUCUUCGGCCCCAAAUUCGUGCCCUAAUUCGAUCAGUUCGAUCACUAUUCAGAAUAUUGGUUCGCUGGUUCCGAUUAAACUCACAACUACAAAUUGGAUCACCUGGAGUGCUUUAUUUGCACCCAUUUUUCGUCGGUACAAUCUCACCGGCCUCAUUGAUGGAUCUCUGGUGGCGCCGCCCAUGUAUCUUCUGGAUUCUUCAGGAAAUCGCACUUCGACUGUGAAUCCUCAAUAUAUCACCUGGUUUGAGAAUGAUCAAAACAUUCUGAUCUGGAUCAAUUCGACACUCUCGGAUUCUCUGAUUCCCUACACUGUUGGUGUUACCUCUGCUCGAGAUCUGUGGGCAAAACUGGAAUCUCGUCUUGCUACAGCGUCGCAAUCACAUAUUCAUGAACUGCGCUCUCGCCUUCACACGAUUACCAAAGGUGAUUCCACUGCGGCUGCUUAUCUUCAACAAAUUGAAGAAAUUGCGGAUGCUCUUGCGACUGCUGGUGCUCCGAUUGCUGAUUCGGAACUCAUCUCUGUUCUUCUUCAUGGCUUACCGCCUGAAUAUGAUGCUUUUGUUGAUACUAUUCAAUUUCGUCUUGGUUCCACUACUGUUGAUGAGUUACAUGGCUUAUUGCUUAGUAAGGAGAUUCAAUUGGCAAAUCGCAAGAAGGUUUCUUCCUCAGUGCCAUUUCAAGCAUAUCAUUCCUCUGCUGGUCUUCUCCCUACACCACCUGCUGAUUCUUCUUCUCAGGCGUACUUUGUUUCUUCUCAUGGCCGUGGCUUCGAUCGGACUUUUUCUCAUCCUAGAAAUUUUCAGAAUUUCUCUCGCCAAGGUCAGACUUUCAGUCGCCAAGGUCCGAAUUUCUCUCGCCAAGGUCAGUAUUUCUCUCGCCAAGGUCAACAGAAGAAUAAUCGUGGAUCCAAACCUAAUUUCCACAACUUCAACCGCAGACCUUCCUGUCAAUUUUGCCGUCAAUCUGAUCAUGAGGCUAUUGAUUGUCCGCAUCGUCUGAAUCCUAACUAUGGUACCAAGCAUUCACAAACUGCAUAUCAUGCGAAUACUGCUUCCAAUGCUUUCACUCCUUCCACUGCUUCCAAUGCUCCCACAUGGCUUCUUGAUACCGGUGCCAGUUCUCAUAUGACCAACUCGUAUACAAAUCUUCAAAGUCCUGAACCCUACAGUGGUCCUGAUCAAGUUUAUAUUGGCGAUGGCAAAGGUUUGCCUAUCACUCAUUCUGGUUCUUCUUGUCUUCCUACCUCUACUCAUACUUUUAAUUUGCACAAUGUGUUGCAUGUUCCUGAUCUGAAACAAGAUUUGAUUUCUGCCAAUCGAUUUAUAGUUGAUAAUUGGUGCUCCAUUCAUCUAUAUCCUUUUCACUUCCUUGUGAAGGAUCUUACUUCGGGGAAGGAGCUUUUUAAGGGUCCUGUCAAAGCUGGCUUCUAUCCUUUUCUUGCACCUUCUGUUGCAGACAAUCAUCAAGCUUAUGUGACCAGUACUACAGCUCCUCAGGGCAUUUGGCAUCAACGCUUAGGCCAUCCAUCAUUCAAGAUUUUACAUAAACUAGGCUCUCAGUCUCGUAUCUCUUGUUCAUAUCACAUUCAUAAAUUUGUAUGCUCUAGUUGUGCUUUAGGCAAAUGUUCUCGCAAACCAUUUACCUCUGUCUCUUGUACAACAACUAAGCCUCUUAAGCUGUUGCAUACUGAUGUAUGGGGUCCUGCGCCCGUUUCUUCUGUUAAUGGAUUUCGGUAUUAUCUUCUAUUGGUUGAUGACUUUUCCAAGUAUUCAUGGUUCUUUCCACUGCAAUAUAAAUCUGAGCUUUUCAGUACCUUUGUUCACUUCAAAUCUGUGGUUGAAAAUCUCUUGGGUUUCAAGGUUAUUACUCUGCGAUUUGAUUCUGGUGGAGAGUUUGUUAAUCAUCAAUUUUCUGAUUUCUUGAAGACACAUGGGAUCUCUCAUCAACUGAGCUGCCCUCAUACUCCAGAACAAAACGGGUGUGCUGAAAGAAAGCACCAGCAUUUAGUCGAAAUUGCUCGGACUCUUCUUACAGCAUCUCAAGUACCUCAUUCUUAUUGGGUUGAAUCCUUCUCCACGGCUCUUUAUCUCAUCAAUCGCAUGCCUACUGGUAGUAAACUCUCUCCUUGGGAAAUCUUGUUUCAUAAACCCCCAGAUUACACAACUUUGAAAGUUUUCGGUUGUAGGUGUUAUCCUUGGCUCCAACCUUACACUUCCUCUAAACUUGAUCCGAGAAGCAAAGCUUGUGUCUUUUUAGGCUAUAGCCUUAAUCAUAAAGGUUAUCGUUGUUUGGAUGCUCAAACUGGGCGAAUUUAUAUUCUCGCCAUGUUAUCUUUGAUGAAACCACAUUUCCUUUUCAUUCUUCUUCCCCUCCUGUUCGUCCUUCCUCUUCCGUUCCAUCUAUUUUCAAUUCCCCCUCCAUCCCAACCUCAUUAACAUUUACUCAUUCCUCUCCUGUCUCAUUACCUGUCUCUGAUUCCCUUUCCUCAUCUCCUUCUUCUUCUCCAGAUUCCUUACCACCCUCUUCUCUACCUAAUAUUCAUCCUAUGACCACUCGAUCAAAAUCUGGUAUUUUUAAACCGAAGGCUCUUCUAGCAACUAAGCAUCCUCUUUCAUCCUCUUUAUCUCUUGAUUACACACCUUCCACCUACCUUCAAGCCUCUAAACACUUACCCUGGCGCCAAGCUAUGCAGGAAGAGUUCAAUGCGCUUCUUCAAACUGGUACCUGGUCUUUGGUUCCUCCUACUUCCUCUCAGAAUUUAGUAGGUUGUAAAUGGGUUUUUCGUAUUAAACGGAAACCUGAUGGCUCAGUGGACAGAUACAAAGCCCGUCUGGUUGCCAAGGGGUUUCAUCAGCAACAGGGCUUAGACUACAAUGAGACAUUCAGUCCGGUUGCCAAACCAGUCACUAUCCGCAUUCUCUUAACCCUUGCAGCUAAAUUUGAUUGGUCUAUCAAACAGUUGGAUGUGAGUAAUGCUUUUCUGCAUGGCACCCUCACUGAGUCUGUUUUUAUGGUUCAACCUCCCGGGUUUGAAGAUCCUACUCAACCCCAUCAUGUCUGUCAAUUGCAUAAGUCCCUGUAUGGUCUCAAACAGGCUCCCCGAGCCUGGUAUGCCAAGUUAACAACUGCAUUACAGUCUCUUGGUUUCUCCGGAUCCAACAAUGAUCACUCUUUAUUUGUUAAGAACGGUGAUUCCGUGGUUUAUGUCUUGGUCUAUGUGGAUGAUAUCCUGGUCACUGGCCCUGAUUCUGCAGCUUGUCAAUCUGUGAUUUCUCAACUCUGUGCAUUAUUUCCUGUUAAGGAUUUGGGACUCCUGCAUUAUUUUCUUGGUAUUGAAGUCAAGCGAUCUUCCCAGGGCAUCUUCAUCAAUCAGACUAAAUAUAUUCUGGAUCUUCUCAACAAGGCACACAUGGAUGGUGCUAAACCUUGUGUUACUCCUCUGAGUACUUCUAAUUUGGAUCAUUCUUCUCCCUUACUGUCCAAUCCUGAAGACUACAGAUCCUUAGUUGGCGGUCUUCAAUACUUAACCUGGACCCGACCCGAUUUGUCCUUUGCAGUCAAUCUCGUAUGUCAGUUCAUGCACACUCCUCGGGAAUCACAUCUUCAGGUUGUCAAGCGUAUUCUCAGAUACUUGAAGGGCACGAUUACUCUUGGUCUUUGGUUUCCCAAAUGCUCUGCACCCCUCAGUAUUAAUAGUUUCUCCGAUGCCGAUUGGGCAGGUUGCACUAUUGAUCGGCGUUCCACAGGUGGUUUUUGUAUUUUUCUGGUUGAUUCUCUUAUUAGUUGGAGUGCCAAGAAGCAACCCACUGUUGCUCGAUCCUCCACUGAAGCGGAAUAUCGUUCUUUAGCUAAUACUGCUGCUGAGUUAACUUGGAUCUGCAAGCUGUUAGUUGAUAUUGGUCUCCUGCUUCCGUGCCCUCCUAAACUUUGGUGUGAUAACAUAUCUGCUCUUUCUCUUGCUAAGAAUCCUCCAUUUCAUGCUCGAACCAAGCAUGUGGAGAUUGAUUAUCACUUUAUUCGUGAGAAAGUUUUGGCCAACUCCAUCACUGUGCAUUUUGUCUGUACACAGGAUCAAACUGCCGACAUAUGUACUAAGGCUUUAUCCAAGGAUCGGUUUCUUUUUCUCCGUGACAAACUCUCACUUCGGCUACCUCAGCUUAGUUUGAGGGGGGAUGUUAAGGGUAGUUAGGUAAAGUUGUGAUAAGUUUGUUUUACUUUACUUAGCUAUUAAGAUAAGUAGUGAGGACAUAUGUAAAUGAUGGUAUAUAUAAUACCAAGUGUAAUAUUAUUCAGAAAUAUAAUUCACAAUUUUAUUUCUUCUCUCUCUCUAAACUUUCUUACUAAAUCUCUCUCUCUCUAAACUCUCACAAUAUUAUCUUCAUUGCUAACAGUUAAAAAUAUUGUCUGUAAAAUAUUAUUUCAAUUAUUGGAAUAGUAUAAGGACUUAAAAAAAUUAAAAUGCGGAAAUGUAUGAUGAAUGUACCUAUAACGGUGUUUAAUUGUUAGAAAAAGAAAAUUAUGACAAAAUUUUCUUUUUUAAUUUUCAAGUUGUUGAAAAAACACGUAGACGGGUGAAAAAUGAGUAAAUGGUAAAAAAGAAAGGAUAAACGGGUUUAAAAAUGAUAAAUGGGUAAAUAGGUACUAAACGGUUACGGUUAAAUGGGUACACGGUUAUGGGUAUGGUUAACCGUUUAUAAACGGUUAUGGGUAUGAGUAUAACCGUUUAGACAAUUACCCAACGGGUAAACGGUUAUGCGGGUAUGAAAAUAAACGGUUAUGGAUAAAUAAUCGCGGUUACCCGCCGGCCAUAAUCGUUGCCCAUCCCUAGAUACAACCGACAUGGGAAAUGAGGAUGAGAUUAGUGGACAUUAGGUGCAACGAUAUUUAAAUUAAUUAGUCGUUCACUUAAUCAUCUUUUUGGUAGUACACUACACACCCUAACAAUGGUCAAAAGUAGUGUGCUGGUGUAUCAUGUUGCCUAGCUAGCUACUUAUUCAUAUUUUGUGGUUGCGAACUGGCUUCUGGGAUUGUGGCAACACAAAAAAUAGGAAAUUCUUCAGGCAACGUGCAUGUGUGCCGAUCAAUUUAGGGUUCAAAAUUGUGGAAAUAUGAUGUACAUACUACGUAUACCGGUUCAAUUAAUCUUUUUUACUUUAUACAAGACCAACGUGCGUUGUCUUGUUAUUUGAUCGAUUAAAAUUUGUUAUCAUUGGGUAAUAUAUAUUUGUGACCUCAGCUUAUCAAGAAAUAUGAUUUAAUAAUAAUAGUUUUGUUGUCCUUUGGCUCUCUUGAUUUUAUUUUAUACAUUAAAAAUUGAUUUCACUUUCCUUCCUGCUUCCUGCUUCUGCAUGCAUACAAUAUUGCUAAGCUUUGCAUUUUGGACAUAUCGAAUGCUUUUUAACUCAACUUUUGUCUUUGAAUUACGUUGUUUUGUGGAUGCACGGGAUCGGUUGUUAGAUAUCUCGUCUUGAUCGCUGUCGUGCAAGUAGUACAUACGUAAUACAAAGAUUAGGCAGAGGUAACUUUGCGUAAUUUUUUGUGCCACUCUAUGCUGGGACUAGGAUUAUCUUCCCUCUUUUUUUUCCUCCUCUUCCCUCCCCUCCUAUUUGAAGUGAACGGUCAUGGUUAAGUCAUGUCAACAUUUUAUGUUAAUUUUACAUAUAAAAAGAAAGACAAAAUAGAGAAUGUGAGAUGAGGAGAGGGAAGUGGAUGGAAAAUGAGAGGAGAGAAUCCUAGUCCCUAUGAUGUGCACAGGUGUGCGUAUCGCCUACACAUAACGUCUUGGAGAUGAAAUCUCAGCCCGUGAUUAUGACGGUUCAUCGUACAUCCUGCAAUUAGAAAUCAUUUCAAAAUUUAAAAUUUAAAAUUAAAUAUAUAGCACCUCACGAAAACUGAACCGCACUAUGUAUGAUGAACAGUCACGAUCACUCGAUCCUUAGAAUCCCUAGAAAAAGAAUCCGACGAGGAUCAUUUUCCAUCCCAGCCUUCCACCUCUAGGGCCUUAAAACCAACGGAUGUGAUGAGUGCUAAAUCCCUUGUACGCAACCCAUGCGCAAGGGAGAAAUUCUGCCGACACUGUUUUCUCACCCUAAUCGAAUGGACUUAGCAGCUUCAAUAUACCCACCACAGGCCUAAGUUUGCAAGAAUUUAGGUCGAUUCUGAAAUAUUGAAGCCCAAAAUUAGAAGUGGUUUUAAAAUGGAAUUGAGAUUUUUCGUCACCAGACUUGACCCAGCAAUGUUGGCAACGAAUACAGUACACACCCACCCACGCCCAUCUAGGAAAUCCCUUAAUCUUAACGCACAAAACCCUUUUGGUAAUUGACAUUUUGAGAAGCUUCCUGGCUCAGAAAAUGAUAAAACCAUGCAACCAAUAAUCAUAUUUUAUUGUCUUAGUGCACUGUACAAGGGAUUAAUCAGCGGUGUCUAUACAUAACACAUGAAAGUUAACAUAUUCCUGCUCAUCUAUCUCAUAUGUAGAAGAGAUGUAAACGUUUCUAUUUGACUUUUAAUAGAUUUCUCUUCCUAUUGAGUAGGGAAACGUAAAGAGUGAGGUUCUUUACAUUGUGAUCCCGUUAAAAUUUGAAUGGUGUUGUUGUGUCCCAUAUAUUGGUCCCAUUGAGUAGAGAAAUGUCUACAUGAUUCUAUCACAAGCAAAGAACGUGCCCUGUAUCUUGAGAAUUAUGAUAGCAUAAAUAAGCCUCAGAAAGUAAGCAUCUAAGGUCACUUCAGUCUGUGACGGUCAGGGUCGACCUUGAGGGUAGCUGGGUAAGGCGAUCGCCUAAUUCCACCGACUUCUAGGGGCCCCCAAUUUUUUUAUAUGUAUGUAUUAGUAUAUAAAUACUUUUAAAGUAAGACAGAUAACACAAAAAACUUGGUGGCUAGUGGAAAAGAAGGCAUUUAUUUGGUUACCAUCUCUUGUUCGAAACAUGAUGAAGACUCCCCAAACAAGUAUUGUUUUUCCAAAUAUAAUUAGAAAGCCUAAUCUAAUAACAAUUUAGAUUAUGUAAACUCAAUUAGUACAUUUGCAUCUAAAAAUGAGAGACAUGUAUUAUCUAAUGUUUAUAUAUCUUUCUUGUUUUAGUAUUAAUUUUUAAUAGUAUUUGAUGUAGAAAUACAUUUUUUUUCAUGUAUUAGCGAAUUAUUUCUUCUACAUAUCAAUGUACAAAGAGUCGGGGGUUCGAUAAUUCUAGAGCCCCACUUUUAAAGCUCGCCUAGAGCCUUCAAAUUCUUAGGGCCGACCAUAGUGAUGGUGCCAAUUGGCCUUUCUAAUAGCUUGAAUGGAAACAGAAGUUACAACAAUACACUUGUUUUGUACCUCCUAUCAUUCUCAUGUUGGAGUGACUCCCAAAUGGUUUUGAUCAUAAGGAAUUUUCAAAAUUUUCAUAGCAUACAAAAGGAAACUAGACUUUUUCACUUAUUCGAUUUCUUAAAACUCAUUCAGCUAUGCUCUAACCGAUGAUGUUAUUCAAAUCACAUCAUUGACCUUGUUCCCAUCUGAUGUCCUAUCCUACAUAUAUUGAUUAUAAAUUUAAAAAGAGAGAGGGAGAGUCCUAGAGAGAGAGAAAGAGAGAGAAAGAGAGAGAGGGACAAUAGGAAAAAUGGGGAAGAGUCCCUUCUCUUUCAAGAGCAUUACUACUGAGUACGAUGCAAGAUUUCUAAGAACUUCACUAACUUCGUAAGACUAAUGAAAGAAGAUUUCAUAGUUGAAUUCUAAUGGUACAAAAUUGUUCUCUACGCCCAUAGAGAAUUCCAAAAACAUAUAAAUAGAGAACUGACAAGCAGCAAAUACCAGUUUCACAUUACAUUUUCAGUGUGAUGAGCUUUGUCAGUAAACUAAACAACCCAACAUCUAAGCAGUAACUAACUCAGAUGAACUUCUAGACUCUAACCAUGACUUGAUUGCAACUUUUGUUGUAAAAAACUAGCCAGCCUUGUGUGAGGCCUCAUGGAAUAGAGCAUUCGAUUCCUUCAAAUGCAACUCAAAUACACUCGCCAGACCUUUGUCUUAAUACUUAUGUUUCCCAUGUCCAUUAUUAAUUCCAAGCAACGGCAAAAACUCCUCACCGGAUUCCAAUACUCGAGAUAGGUCGUUGAUCCAAACAUAUAAUGCAGUCAAAGCUGCCCCAAGAGAGAGGCCCUUGAGAUACAAAGACUACUGGGUCUAAGACCUUGACUGUAAGCCUAUAUAUAUCUUAAGUGUGAUCCCCAAGUCUAGUAGCUCAUAGGCUCUCUCCAAGAGAUUGAGGUUCACACAAAGAUCAAUCAGGCAAUUGCAGUAAGCCUUCUUUACAUCCGAACCAAUCGAGUUAACAAGUUGUGAUGCUUCGUUCUUGAAGUUUUCACUACUUUCUUGCUUCUCCACUAAAAGUCUUACCACAUACCCUAGUUUUUCAUCAACCCUCUCAAUACAAUUCACAAGCUUGCAAAGUUCUUCCUUUGGUGUUUGAGUCAUCACAUUCAGGAGACAAUCACAGAAGCGCUCAUCUGGUGUUAUACCCAAUUCUAGGAGUUGAUCGAAUAUCUUGACAACGUCGGUGCAUUUUACCUUACCCUAACAUUGGAUGAGUGAUGUCAAAAUAAAGAUAUUUGGCUAAAAACCAGCUUCCAACAUCUCAUUCAAUGUUGUUUCUGCCUCUAUGACUUUCCACGCUACAGGAAUAUAUGGUAAUCAUGGACGAAAAUGUCCAACUGUCAGGCUUCAGUGUUUCAGAACUCUUCAUUUCUUCAAAAAUGUCAACGGCUUCGUCGGUGUAACCAACAUCAGCACACAUAGCUAAAAGGGUGUUAUAGAGAAUUACAUUUAACUCUAAUCCCUUUUCCUUCAUCUCUUUAUAAACAUUAAGAGCAUCAUCACGGUAAUGAGCUCUACCAUAGGCCCUUAAAAGACUUGCAUAGGUUACCCAAUUUGGUGAAAGCUCAUUGCUGAUCAUCUCUCGGUAAAUUUUCUUGGCCUGCCAAGGCCUCCUAGCUCUUCCCAUAGCAUCCAACAAAGUGUUAUAAAUAACCAAGUUUGGCUUAGCCCCUAUAGCUUUCAGUUCCUCAUAAACAUUCAAGCACCCAUCAAAAUUCCUCGAUUGCUCGUGAAUUUUGAUCAACGUAGAAAACGUCACUGGAUCAAUGUGCCACUUCUCAGUCCUGGCCCGAUCAUACAAACUGAAAGCCAUUUCAACCUUACCCGCUCGUCCAUAGGCGUCAAUCAUAGCCAAAUAGGUAACAUUAUCCAGAUUACACCCAAAACCAGGCAUCUUCUCAAACCACUCCACAGCCUUAUCAAGCAAAGAACACAUCCCAAAGCAACUAAUCAUAGUCGAAAAGGUUACAUUAUCGGGGUUAACACCUCUCUGGAGUAUUUCGUCGAACAGCUUCUCUGAUCUCUCCAUAUCCUUACCCUUCCUACACACUUUCAAAGUCACAUUAUACAAAAUUCUUAACACACUGAAGAGAUCAAGAACAACUCACAGAUUAUACAAAGAAGAAGAAGAAAGGGUUAGAGAAGAAGCUAUGAAUCUCAAAGAUCUGCAAUUAUAUUUCUGUAUUCUCUACCAAUACAUGGAAGUAAAAGCACACUUUAAACUUUUCUAAUACAUUGAUUUAAAAAGUAAGCUACCAAUCCCAUGUGCACAGUACAUGUCAUUUACACUCCUAUCUAAUAUCAUGUGCACAUCACAUGUUAUUUACAUUCACAUCCAAUACACAUCUCAAUCUUAAGUAGGGUAACCUAACUUAAGAUUGAAACAAUGCCUUAAGAAAUCAGGUCCGUGCAAAUCCUUUGUGAGAAUAUUUGCAAUUUGAUCUUUAGGACACAAGUACUGAACUGACAAGUCUCUUUUUUGCACCCUUUCACGAGCCAAAUGAAAGUCAGUUUCUAAAUGUUUGAUCCUGGAAUGCUAGACAGGAUUUAAGUUGAGAGCAAUUGCAGACUGAUUGUCACAAUAAAGGACUGGAAGAGAAUGCAGAAACACAUGUAAAUCUUUAAGAAGUAACCUGAUCCAAGCAAUGUAUGCAGUUGUAUGAGCUAAGGCACGAUAUUCAGCUUCUAUGGAACUCCUAGAAACAGAAGACUGCUUCUUUGAUUGCCAAGAGAUUGGAUUAUUUCCCAAGAACACCACAUAACUAGUAAUAGAACGUCUAGUGUUUAAAUCAGCCACCCAAUCAGAAUCACUAUAAGCAUUUACAAAUAAAGAUCCACCAGAAAUGUAUGUCAAUCCACAGUGAACUGUACCUUGCAAGUAUCGCAAGAUUCGUUUUACCCUGGCAAAGUGGACAUCAGUUGGAGCACUCAUGUAUUGACACAUUGUAUUAACCGCAAAGGCUAUAUUAGGACGAGUGAAAGUGAGGUAUUGGAGACCCCCAAGUAAGCUUCGAUACAAGGUAGAAUCAGACAACAAAGAACCAUCACUAGUUAAAACCUGAUUAUGAGGUUUACAAGGGGUGUAACAGUUUUUACAAUCAACCAUACCAGCCUUAUGGAUCAGAUCUUUUGCAUAUUUCCCUUGGUUGAUAAACAAAUCCCCAUUAGACUUAUAAGUAAUUUGAAUACCAAGAAAAUAAGCUAUAUGCCCCAUAUCCUUCAAAUCAAAGACCUCACUAAGAUUAGUAAUCACAUAUUACACCAACUCAGAAUUAGAGCCUGUGAUGAUUAUGUCAUCAACAUAUAGAAGUAAAAUAAUAACAUGAGUACCAUCUGUCUUCACAAAUAAACUGUAAUCCGAUAGAGAAGCUUCAAAACCAACAGUUUGUAGAUAGCCAGUGAAUUUUUCAUUCCAAGCUCGAGGAGCUUGUUUUAAACCAUACAAUGAUUUUACAAGCUUACACAUAUGAGUAGGAAACCUAGAGUCAACAAACCCUUGAGGUUGUUUCAUAUAAACCUCUUCUUGUAAUUCCCCAUGUAAAAACACAUUUUUAACAUCCAAUUGUCGAAGAUCCCAUUUGUAUGUGGCAGCUAAUGCUAAAAUUAAUCGCAUUGUAGUGUGUCUAACCACUGGACUAAACGUGUCUGUAUAAUCAAGACCUUGUUCUUGGCUAAAUCCUUGUGCUACUAACCGAGCCUUAAAUCGAGAAAUAGAGCCAUCACUAUUCCUCUUAAGCUUCUACACCCAUGUACUUCCUAUAACAUUCUUAUCUCCAGAAUUAGGGACAAGAAUCCAAGUACCUUAAGAUUGGAGAGCAUCAAACUCCUCUUGCAUUGUCAACUGCCACUGUGGAAUUUGUGAAGCUUGUUUGAAGCUUGAUGGUUUAGAAGCAUCAUGAAUAUCAGCAAGGAAUGUAAAACCCCCUGAAAAAUGAGCAUCAUCUUCUAGAGUUAAUGAAUGAACUUUAGGAAACAAAGCAGUGAGGGUAGAAUAAUCUUUUCAAGUAAUGGUGCAUGUUCGUAAUCGAGUUUAAAUGCCCUAUGAAGACACUGAACUUGUACCUGAGCUUGGUUGAAGGACAGGCAACAUGGAAUUGAAACCGGAAAGAGUAGCAUGUGUUCUAGAUCCUGGAUCAUUACUAGUAGGUGAUGAUGUACUUGUACUAGUAGUAGAUACAAAUCGAUGUUGAUGAGCUAAUGAACUGGAAGAUAAACUAUGAGACUCAAUAGUAUUAAUUGAAACCUCAGAGUUGUUAGUAGAACUAGGUAAUUGCACCACCAAAGGUCGAAUAUUCAUAGAAGAAGGUGAUGGAAUUGAACUCUAAGAAAAAGAACAAACCAUAUCCAUAUAAGGAAAGGAACUCUCAUCAUGCAAAACAUGUUUAGAAUAAGAAGCUUUCCUGUCAACAGAUUGUAGCAAAGAGCACCUUUAUAUCCAUUUGAAUAACCCAGAAAGAUGCAUUAAACAUAUCAAGAUUGCAGUUUGUGUGCAUUGUAAGGUCAAAGGUAAGGAUAAAUGGCUAAACCAAAGACCUUUAAAGUAGACAAUGCAAGUUUCUUGCCAUACAAUUGUUCAAAGGGAGAAGUCAUUUUAACACUUUACAAGGCAUUCGAUUAAUCAAGAAGGCAACAUGAACAACUGCAUAAGACUAGAACUUGUAUGGCAAUUGAGCAACUGACAUAAGAGUAAUAGCUGUUUCAAGCAAAUGGCGAUGCUUUUUCUCAACCAUGCCAUUUUGCUGAGGUGUGUAUGGACAAGAAACAUAAUGCAGGAUGCCAUUCUUAUCCAAAUUAUCCUUAAAGGAACUAUUCAAAAACUCUCCACCACUAUCAGAUUGGAAAACCUUUAUCUUAGCAUUAAAUUGAUUUGCAACAUAGGCACAAAAUUGAACAAAUGCACCAGAAACAUUUGAUUUAUUUAUGAGAGGAAAAAUCUAUACAAACCUAGUGGCUUCAUCUAGAAAAUAAACAUAGUAUCUAUAGCCUCCAACAUAAAGAACCGGAGAAGGUCCCCGAACAUUACUAUGUAUCUUGUAAAAUGGAAUAUCUAUCUUAUCAAUCAUUUCUAAAAAUGGUAAUCGACUCAUCUUACCACAAAUACAAUGAGAACAGACUUUUACAUUUUCAUUUGGACUACAAACUAUAUCAGAAUCUUUAAGCAUCACAGCAAGUAUCUCAUUAGAUGGAUGACCCAAACGUUGAUGCCACAAAGACUUUUGCAUAGUAUGUCCCAAAAAGGCAGAAGAAACACCACCUGAACUCAACAAUGUAGGAAACAUAUGUACUGGAAUUCUGAACAAUUCUUCUUUGCUAUUCUUUCCGUGAUGGAAGACUGCCCCUGUUGCCUUGUCCUGCACAAAGAACUAGACAUCAUCACAAAUAAACCAGCUAUGGUUAUCCUUGCAAAGCUUUUUAACUGAUAAAAGAUUAACAGUAAGCAUUGGCACAUGUAAGACAUUUCUAAGAUGUAAAACAUGAGAUUAAGUAAGCAAAAUAGUAUUGCCAAUAUGUUUGACUUCCAAACUUGCACCAUUGCCAACAAUUAUCUUCUCAUUUCCUUCAUAUGGAAUAACCCGGGUAAGAACAUUAACAUCAGGGCUCAUAUGAUGAGAUGCACCGGUGUCAAUGAUCCAUGAAUCACCAUUUACAACUUCAGGAGAACUUUGUGCAUUCAUAGCAAACAUAUUAGAAGGAUGAAUUGGAGAUACACUCCAAGGAUAUUGCGUAAAUGACACUGGUGAUGGAACUGUGGUGAAGAAGCAUACACAUAAACUUCAAGUGGAGAAGGAAACCCUUGAUAUGCAUAGUUAGCAGUCAAAGAAGGAGGUGGUUGAGUGCCUUGAUAAGCAUAGUUUGCUAUAUGUCUACAGUUGAGUGCAAUAUGACCCAUUUUUCCACAUAUUUGACACUCUUGAACAUUCAGACCAUUUUUAGUAUCAUUUCUAUAGAGACAUGUAAUAGCAACAUGACCCUUUCGAGAACAAAUUUGACACUCUGGAAUCUGGUCAUAUCUGUUAGAAGUAUUCGCAGACCAAGAUUGCCAUCCAUUCCUUGAAUUAUUGAACUUGGGUUUAUAGCCACCAUUGCCCCUUGGCCUGAAAUUGUUAGUAUUAUAGAAUCUCCAUCCAUUAUUACCAUUAGCAGCAGAUGGAAAGGCAGUAUUACCAUUUAAUUGAUAACUUGGAUAACCACCAUUACUAUGUGAGGAACCAAUGCCAUUAGAACCAUACCCAAAAUUAGAUGAUCCUUGAGAAGAAGAACCAAAAUUGCCCGAGAAUGGAGAGGGACUAGAAUUGUCCGAGAAUGGAGAUGAACCACUAUUGUCAGAAGUAGUAGUGGAAGAAUUGGUAUUGACAUACAUAGCAACCAUGCUUUGGACUAGAGAAUGUACCCUUGACUCAAUAGUCUUUUCAGUACCAAUUAACUGUGCUCGAAACUCUUUCAAAGUUAUUAGGGUAUCUCUAGCUAAAAUCACAGUGCGAAUUGUAUCAUAAUCAGGAGGUAAACCAGUGAGAGUAUCAAUUAUAAGAUCACUAUCAGAGACCUUUUCCCCUGCAACCUGCAAUUGAUCCUUAAUGCUUUUCAAUUGUAACAAAUACUUAUCAAUAAUAUCCCAUCUUUUUUGUAAAGUAUGAAGCUCAGCCUUCAAAUGAUUGACACUCGCACUAGAAACAUACAAGUAACGAUCUUGCAAAGCUAUCCAAGCUUCUCUAGAAGUUUUGCAUCCAACAACAUGUUAUAUAGGAUCAUCACUCAAGAUUGCAAUUAAAAGACUCAACAAAGCCAUAUCAGUCUUAAUCCAUACCUUAUAAGCAGCACUAAUCUCCGUAGUAACACCUACUUCAGGAGUGAGAACAAAUUUGGGAGGACAUACAAACUCACCAGUGACAUGAUCAAACAAAUCAUAGCCACGUAAAACAGACGAAAACUGGAAAUUCCACUUUAUGAAAUUAUCAUCGGUAAGCUUAAUAGUUAGCAUACCCAUCAAGCUUUCAAUCUUCACAUAAUUCGACAUAAUGAUCAGCAACAACAAUCUUCAAUUACCCAGCAAUAGAAACAAAUGCACAAUAUUGACAAUCUGAUGUCGGUAAGAAAAACCCAGAUGACAAAAUUCAAGAAAACUUAACUGCAAUCAAUAUAUGCUUCAGAAAUUAUCAAGAAUGAAAGAAACUCAGAUAUGGCAUCGGCCUUAAACAAUCAAGAACUUCAAGAAUUCACUAAUUCAUCAACAUAAUCGGCAUUAGCCUUCAGAUUCACAACGCAGUUACAAGGAAACAAUCAGCACCUUUGGCAUUGGCCUUGAGGCAAUUCAUCAACAAAUUCUUCAAACAACAUUCUUGUAUGGCAUCGGCCUUUAAAAUCCAAAAAAAAAAAAUCCAAUUUCAACAACUAAUCAGAAAUUCACAAGAAAGAUAUCACCUUAGCAAUAAUCGGAGCAACGAAAAACAUGAAUCAGGAGGCUGGCUCUUGAUACCAUCUUAACAUUCUGAAGAGAUCAAGAACAACUCACAGAUUAUACAAAGGAGAAAAAGCAAGGUUUAGAGAAGAAGCUAUGAAUCUCAAAGAUCUAGAAUUAUAUUUCUGUAUUCUCUACCAAUACAUGGAAGGAAAAUCACACUUUAAACUCUUCUAAUACAUUGACUUAAAUAGUAAGCUACCAAUCCCAUGUGCACAACACAUGUCAUUUACACUCCUAUCUAAUAUCAUGUGCACAUCACAUGUUAUUUACAUUCACAUCCAAUAAAAAUCACCUCCCGUUUCAGUUUCAACCUCUGCUGAAAGUAGUUAAACGCAAGAAAAGCACUUUCCGAAUUGUUCAUGUUAUUCAGAACCACCACAGCGUCGUGUUCCAAAAUAUUAUCCCCUAAACCUUUUAAAGCUUCGAAAACAUCACCUUCAAUCGGAGUGCAAGAGUUCAAAUACUCAGUGACUUUCACCAAAGAAGCGUACCUGGAAUUGUAGGACUUGUGCCGCAGCUGUGAAGCUCUGGGGCUGCUGGGAUUGACCCAGAUAUAGCUUUUCAACAAAGACCCGGAAUUUCCAUCUGGGCUCUGAAUAUUUCCAAUUUCUGGAGCUUUGGAGUUCUGGGAUUCUUCUGCAACUGGGUUUUGCAAAGAAACAUGGUGUAUUUGCAGAGAGGUUCGUGACUGAAAUUGUAGUGAAGGAAAACUGAGUCUGUGGGUGUUAAUUACAAGGCUUAAGAGUCAAAAAUCAGUCGGGGAAGAAGAAGAAGGGAGAGAGUGGGAGAGAGUUUUGGGGUUGCGGAAGAGAAUAUAGGGUGAAUAGCACAAGUGACAAGCCAUUUUCCUCACCCUGUGAGGGGAUCAUGCUUCUGCUUUGCAUUCCAGGGUAUAGGAAGAGGUUAAUUACUAUGUUUGCCUUAUGUGUAUACGUACCUUCUAAUAUUUCACAAAGGCAAACUUCACUGUCUUUUUUUUUCUCUCCUCCGUGAGAGCCCCUUCUCUCCUCCGUGAGAGCUUCUAAUGGGGGAUUAGAUCCGUACACUAUUGGCUAUAGGUCAGCGAGUGGGGUUUGGUCUUUUAUUUGGAAAGUUUGUGAGGAGCUCCCUAAUUUGUUUGCCAGAUCUGAUCUGAGUGUGGGCCGACCAAAGAACUAAAUGAAGGUACAGUAAUGUGAGCAGAGUCAUUUUUUGACUCUGGGAAGAAUCCCGCUUUGUAAAAUGAGGCAUUUAUCUCUCGUCUACUAUGGAUCCCUUCAAUGUGGUAGGGGCUGUUAGAAGUUGUAAGUGGUGAUGAGGAUUUAUUCCCACACCCACUCUCUACCUACCAGAUUUGAGGUAUUGGUGGGUGUUUAGAACAAUCCUCUGCUUUGUUAAGGUUUCAGCUGUGGUAAGGAAGGUAUGGACCACAGUUUCCAGUUCCGACUAAGCUUGAUGGCGAGUAAUGCACUCAUUUCUCUGUCAUUAAUUGUUGUUAGGGUUUCCUUUCACCAAAGCAUUAAAGUUCAGCGACAAGAUACAUCAUAGUAAUGUCCUGAUGUACGUACUUAUAUCGCUCCUAUGAGUGUUUAUUAUGAUAAGCAAUCGUAAGAGACGGAGAGCAAUCAAGAAAGGAAAAAGUUACAACCCUUACAAAAACAAAAUUCACAAGGAUUCCACACUCAAUCCCCUUCAACUCAUCUAUUCCAAUGAUCCAGAGCACAAAGCAAAGCAUGGCAGAACAAGAGAUUAAAGACUUGGUGAUUCACCUUGAUAAAUCCAUGGAUGUGUCGACCAUGGAGCAAGGGAUAGAUUUGGUUGGGGCGGCCCUACUGAGUAAAACCUUGAACAAGUGGGUGUUCAAAAUAUCCUCAGGUCUUCCUGGAAGGAACUGGGUGAAGUAGAGAUAAAAUGGGUAAAAGAGAAUACUUUCAUUAUAAAGGUGCAGGAUGAGAGCACUACUGCAAAGAUUCUAAGUCAGGUUCCAUGGGCAACAAUGGAAGAAAACUUUUAUGUAAAGAAAACUUUUAUGUAAAGAGAUGGCCAAAAGACUUGGUGCUGGAGGAAGUAGAGCUAGAAAAAAAUCCCAUUUUGGGUACAAAUCAGGGGGGUGCCACCCUGCCUCAUUUCGGAAGCCAAUGUACAACACCUCACAAAGGAAAUAAGGGAGUUCAUUGAGUUAGAAGACCCAGCUAAAACUCGUGGCUUCAUUAGCACCAGUGUAGUGGUUGAUACUCGUACCCCUUUGACUACUGGAUGCUGGCUACCAAGAGAUGAAGAGAAGGAUACCUAGGUGGAGUUUAGAUACGAGUGGUUGCAAAACUUUUGUUAUCGGUGUGGGCGAAUUGGUCAUGCGAUGAAUGAAUGCUCAUUUGAUCAAACCAGAGGAAUAACGGUUGGCUAUGGGGAGUGGACUAAAGCAGCACUUAUUCGUGAUCUGAUUGAAACGUUUGGACCUCUCAACAUCGGGAUGGGUGAGUAUAGACAACCGAGUACGGCUAGGAGAGGUACGAGGAAGGUAACCCUACAGCCUAACAAACUUGGAACCAUGGGAAGCAAUGUAGGAGAAGGAAGUAGCUAGAUUGAGGUUAGGUGUCCUAGAGGAAUAACUAGGCGCAAGAAAUGGUGGAAGCAAAGUUACAGGGUAAACCAACUUGGUAUGGAUCCUGGGUCUCUCAUCCCUCACCGGCUAACUUCCUAGGGUCACCAAUACCUGAAUCGACAGAACGCCCACCAUCAGAUGCAAGCUGGCUCGACCUCGGUGGUCAUAUAAAAGAUUAGAGAUGAUGACACUCAAACUAGGGGAGAGUUAGCUUUGAGUAGGGUGGUGGCAGAUGGUACUCAGUCUAAGAAGGGCAUAAACCUUAGCGUGAUGGAGAUCCACCAUACGCCUAUACAAAAAAAGUAAAAAAGUUGAGAAUAGUGAAGAGAGGAAAAAAAAGUGGCAGAUAAGCUUAGGAUAAUGAGCAUCAGGGAGAGGUGUCUGAUGAUGGAGGAAGCCUUAUAUACGAAGGAAGAGUCCGAAGAAAUCUGAAAUGAAUACAAGGAAAUGUGGGAAUUCAUAGAGAACGUUUCGAAGACUGCGAGGAGGAACCCGCAGGAAAGACGUGAAUGGUCGAGCUCUCAAGGCGGUGGUGGCUGGCCUAAUACAACUGCACGAUCACCAUGACACACCUAUUUUGGAAUUGUCGUGGUCUUGGGUCGGACAUGGUAGUUUGAGCCCUACAUGGGCUGAUUAGGAAAUACAGACCUUCUAUGAUCUUUCUCUUAGAGACUAAAAUGAAAUAUCAUAGAAUUGACGGUGUUCGUAGGAGAAUGGGUUCCCAAAUGGUUUCAGGGUUGGUAUGGCUAGUGGUCUCAACCUAUGGUGGGAUGAUUUAAUGGAGGUUAAGAUUAUGUACUCUUCAAAGCAUGCCAUUGAUGCAUGAGCCAUAGGAAUGGGUGAAAUCAGGUGGUCCAGGGUGACAGGAAUUUAUGGUACGGCUUACAGAGAGGAGAAAUACCAGUUCUAGGGUUGGAUGAACACCUUCUUUAAACCUACUUACAUUCCCUGGUUGUGUGGAGGAGAUUUUAAUGAGUUUAUCUGGGAGUCUGAAAAAUCGGGAGGCGCAUCGGUUCUGUACAACCGCCCUUAUUUCUUAGCACACUUCAUGGAGGGCUUAGAAUUAAUUGACCUUGACUUCAAUGGACUUCCCUUCACUUGGCAUGGGACACGAAAUGGGACUCUUGUGGAGGUUAGGCUUGAUCGAGGGCUGAGCAACUGGUGUUGGCAAGAUUGUUGGUCUAACACCUCUGUUACCCAUGGCACUAUAGUGGGCUCAUACCACUGCUCGCUCAUAAUCUAACAUGACCCUAACCAGGCUAAAUGUAAGAAACAUUUUCGCUUUGAAACCUUCUGGGCAAAAGAAAAGGAUUGCAAGCAGGUAUUGAGACAUGCUGGCAUCGUGCUUGUAAUGGUGAUCAUGUUUCUAGGUGGCAGCUGAAGCUUAAUGAUUGCAGAUCCAGGUUGAUCAGAUAGAGCAAACAAAAAUUUAAGGUGUGUGUGGGUGAAAUUGAGGAGCUAAUGGGCCAACUCGAGGAGUUGAAAAAUAAUUGGGCAACAAAUGCGAAUAGAAUCCAGGAAAUUACCAUUAGGGUUGACAAGCUUCUGGAACAAGAUGAGCGUUUUUUGCAGCAAAGGUCUCUGGUCAAAUGCCUUCGUAAUGGUGAUGCUAAUACUGCAUUCUUUCACCAAUCAACCCUGCAAAUGAGGAGAAGAAAUAAUGUGGUGAAGCUCAGGAAGGAUGAUAGCGUGUGGAAGGAGAACCCAAACGGUCUUAAAUAUUUAAUUGAUGAAUACUUUAUCAACCUGUUUAAAUCUGAGGGUCCUAGGGAGCGGGGUCAGGUGCUGGAGUGUAUCACUCUGUCGGUGACUGAUGAAAUGAACCACACUUUAUUAUUACGGAUCACCCAUGAGGAAAUUGCUAUUGCUGCUCGGCAAAUGGGUGACUUAAAGGCCCCGGGCCUUGAUGACUUUCAAGGAAUUUUCUACCAUUCCUAUUGGGACUGUAUUGUGAAGGAGGUUAAUGAGCUGGUUAUGUACUUGUCGAAAUGAGAUACUUGUCCUUGGCAACUUAGUGCGACCCAUAUUGUUUUGAUCCCAAAGGUUCCGAACCCGGAAUUUGUAUCUUAAUUCCGACCAAUUAGCUUAUGUAACUUCUCCUAUAAGGUGCUCUCCAAAGUCUUAUUAAAUAGACUCAAGCCUUUACUCCCCAAGAUUUUUUCUCCUAUACAGAAUGCUUUUGUUGGGGGAAGACAAAUACAGGACAACAUUGGGAUAGCGCAUGAGCUUUUCCACUUUCUUAAGCUCAGGAAAACAAAGUCUAAGUUCGAACUGGGUAUUAAACUGGACAUGCACAAAGCCUAUAACCGUGUGGAUUGGGAUUUCCUGGAUGCGGUUAUGGAAAUGAUGGGAUUUCACAGUACUUAGCAGAGGAUUAUCAUGGGGUGUGUGACCUCGGUUAAUUUUGCUAUGCUUCUCAAUGGUCAACCUGGAAAUAAAUUCGUCCCUUCGCGGGGGCUUUGACAGGGCGACCCUCUUUCCCUGUACCUAUUUCUAAUGGUCAAUGAUGUCCUUUCUAGGAUGACAUGCCGUUCUACGGAGACCAACAACAUGCAGGGGUACGGAACAGCCAGCAUGACCCUCCCAUUUCCCACAUCUUCUUUGCUGAUGAUACUCUCAUUUUCUUAAAGGCUGAUAGGUCAAACUGCCAGGUGUUGGGCCAGCUCAGUGAGGAUUUCUGUGCUGCCUCUGGUCAGGCCGUAAACUUACAGAAAUCUUGUGUGUUUUUUAGUGCCAACAUUCAUGCUGCAAUUUCAGAGGAGUUGGGAAAUAUUCUUGGGGUUCCGGUUGUAUCGGAUCCUGGGACUUACUUGGGAGUUCUUGCUAUUUGGGGUCGAUCCAAGAGUCGUGGCCUUGCUUAUGUGAAAGGUAGAAUGUUUGGAAAAAUCCAAUGAUGGAAGCAGAGCACUUUAUCCCAAGCUGGCAAAGAGGUUAUGAUAAAAUAUGUGGCCCAAGCCAUACCUGCUUACCCAAUGAAUUUAUUUAAAUUUGCAGAUGCAGUCUGUAAUGAAUUGGACUCCAUGAUUAUGGGGUUCUGAUGGGAGCAGAAACAUGGUGAAAAAAAAAAAUCAUUGGGUGUCUAAAUGCAAAUUAGGCCACCCAAAGAAUAUUGGAGGUUUGGGUUUCAGAAGUUGCAAAAGUUUUAAUGAUGCUCUCCUUGCUAAGCAAUGUUGGAGGCUGAUUGUGGAACCAAAUUCGAUAUGGCCUCUGUUCUCAAGGCCAAGUACUAACAUUGCUAUUUUCUAGACGCCAAACGGGGAAGUCGUGCUUCGUGGGCUUGGACUAGUUUACUCGUGGGUAUAGAUGUUAUCAUGCAAAGGGCUAAGUGGCAGAUUUCUGAUGGGCGUGAGGUGCGGUUUUGGAUUAAUCGUUAGCUGAUAAGCUCAUAUUUAUAUAUAUUUUACAUCAUAUUCACUUAUUUUUUCUUAGUUAGUUCCUUAUAUUUUUGAGCUAUUUACUUUGUUUUUGUGUUUUGUAGGAUUUGUCAAGCAAAGAAAAGAAAAAUAGCACAAGUGUGAUUUUAAGUAACAAAUUCGUCAAAACUGCGUGUGUAGGUCAGCUGACUUUGGAAGCAAUUUGCGAACAGCUCAAAAUGAAUUAGAGAAUGAGCCUUAUAUUCUUGGAAAGCUACGGAUGUCUAUUUUCUGGAGCAUUUCACAGAUUGCUAAUAUCAUUUUUCUAGAAGACGUUAUGGCCGUUUUAACACUAAAACGUUCCUAAGAGGCUGAGCAGUUUGUAACUGACAAGAAAGCAUUGAAAGCAAUAAAUCCAAUAAAUCUAGCAGCCAAAACUGAUGCAGCAAAGAACAAGCCAGCUGACACCUAUUCAAAUAUAAGAGGAAAUGAAAUUAAAGAUGAGGAUUAAAUGGGAGUAAUUGGCAUAAAGGUUGCCCAAAGAGUUACAAUUGUUUUACCAAUUUCUCUCACUUAUUGUCAACACUAAAUGGCUGUUAGUGGGGUGAGUUAAGGAGAAGAAAUAAGGUAGCAAGCAAGAAGAAAAAGGUUGCAGGUUGCGGCGGCAAAGAUAGAGAAAAAAAGAUAGAAAAAAAGGAAAGGAAGGAAAAAAGGCAAGGCUGCUGCGUUGGGGAAGGAAUGAAAGGAAUGAGGAAAUCUUGGCAUUCUCUUCUUUCGGUUUUAUCUUCUCAAACUCAUGUUUUUCUUUUGGUUUUAUUUGAGAAUUAUGUGUAACUAAAUUUUUAGAAGUUAUGGGCUGUUUUGAAGCCUCGAAUAUGAUUGCAAGUUUGUUAUGACAUUUCGUUUGAAUUACUUUUAUGAAUGGAUGAAAAUUGGUUCACUACUUGUCUUAUUGAUGAAUUCUUUAUUUGUUUUCUAUGGAUGCAUACGUAGUAAGCAUAUCUAGGAUUCUAACGCUAUGAAUAUGUGUGUGCCUGCCCUGUCGAAUGAGGACCUACAUAUGUUCUAGAGUAGUACUUGUUAAUUGCGAUUAACAUGUGAACCAAUUUCUAGGAUAAGUAAGACAACGCCAGUACUUACGAUGCCUUGUGAUAACUCAAACUCUUUUCGUUCUUAAUGAUUUCUACUUGUUAAAUCUAUGAACACGUCAUUCUAGAUUGCAUGCUAGGGACUAAGUUAAGUUGAAAAUGUCAUUCUCUUAACAUACUACGUAACAAAGAGUACUAAGUUGAGUUCUAACAUUGAGCGAACUUGAGCAUCUUCAUCUGGAAAUAAAAGGAAUUUGAAUAAAACAUAACAUGUUUGCAUGAUUAUUUGGUGGUGGAUAACAAUAACCCUAACUCGUUUUUCUUAAUUUGUGAACUAUUUAAAAUUUGCUUAUGUCAUGUUUUUGUUCGAUUUAAUUUUAAUAUAAAAUCAACUCCAAAAAUCCCAAAACUUUGUAUGAGUGUAGCUCUGUCUGUCUAGUGUUUUCAUAUAAAAUUUCGUAGACUUUAGAUAUGUUUAAGUCAGUCUAAUAAUUAUUUUUCCGUGGCUGGUCAGUAGGGACAGUAGCCCAGUUUUUGUGACAUUUUAAGUAGUUAGAUAAAACAAUCUUCUGCGGAAAAUACCCUUAUUUUCAUAUGCUACAAUUGACAAAUCUUAAUGUUAAUAAGGAAAAUAAAUAAGACAUUUGUGUGCUACUUUGUGGUGUGCACUUAAUCCUAUCAUUAGCUCAUCUCCCUCCCUUUGGGCCAUCAUAUUCCGAGGGGACCGGUGCAUGUUACACUAGAUACUCAGGUUCAAACCUUUCUGUGCCCAAUCACUAGAUCGUGGGACUUGAACUCUCUCCUCCCAUUCCUCUUCACAAAGGAAUUGGAUGAUGUCACAGGCUCUGAUGUGGGUAUUGGUUCUGGAUUGGAUCGUUUCAUCUGGCAUGAGACGAAGACUGGUGUAUACACGGUGAAAUCUGGGUACCUCUCGUCCAUCCACGUCCUGCACCACUCCUAAGUGUGUGUGGAAAAUUAUUUGGAAGCUUCAAACCCCGGCAAAAAUCAGGUUUUUUCUAUGGAAGACUUUCCACCGCUCUCUUGCCACGAUGGAUGACUUGUUCAUUCGUCAAUCUACCCCUAACCCGAUGUGCCCGAUCUGCCUUUUCCAAGAAGAGUCAAUUGUGCACCUUCUUUUACUUUGCCCAUGGGUUGAAAAAUCUGGUUUGGAUGGAUGUUGAAUUAUAAGAUUAACAGAAGUGAGGUCUCAAGUUGGGUGGAUUGGUUUGAUCAAGUGGCGUUCAUUCGGUUGGGUGCUAAUGGGGACUGGUUGCACGUGCUCUUUUAUAUUGCCUUCACUUGUUGGCACAUAUGGAAGUCUCGCUGCAAUUUUGUGUUUAAUCAGAGACUAAUUAACCCUACCCAAGUGGUUUGUGCUAUUAAUAACUCGACGGGAGCCUUUACUGCUGCUACCCGGCAACUGCAUCAUCUCUCGUCUCUUAUCCCUCUUGUGGAUGUUAGUCCAUCUAGGUGGUCCCCCCUUCCACGAUGUACAAGAAAAUCAAUGUUAAUGCUAAUUGGUCGAAGCAGACACGUUCGGCUUUGUGGGAAUUAUGGUAAGGGAUGAUGGUGGCUCUUUUAUGGCAGCGGUCAGGUAUGCUUUUCGAUCCCCUUGUGUUGGUGCUGCUGAGGCAAUGGCUAUCCUCAAGGGGUGUGAAUUUGGUCUGUCGCUGAGGCUCAAGAAGGUGGUUGUGGAAUCUGACUCGACGGAGUUUAUCUCGUCCCUGGUGGACUCGCAAGAUAAUGGCAAAUGGGAAGCUUUCCCUUACUUAGUAAAAGCUAAAAAUCUAGGGGAUUCUUUCCAAAAUUGUCGCUGGUCUUGGAUCUUAAAACUAGCCAACAUGGCGGAUGAUGCUUUGGCGUUGCAAAGUUGCUCGGAGAUGUGCGAUGUUUUUUGGGUCAACAGACCCCCAUCUUCGCUUGUUCACAUCCUUCACAACGACGGGAUACCUUGCCCUGCCGGGGGGCUUUGGAGAGGGUGACGCAAUAACUAGGUUACUGCGUCUCCAUUGUAACUAUCUCCUUUGCCCUAUGUCUUUUCUUUACUUUUGUUUUGCUUGCCUCCUUGUAGGCUUUCUUGUUUCGUUUGGAAUCUUUGCCCGGUUUGAAUCUACUGUUUCCAAAAUAAAUAAAAUAAAAGGAGAAUGGAAUGAAAAGUAGGCCUAGGAGUAGUUCUUCUUCCUGGGAACAAAUUAUUACACACGUAUCUAGGUUGUUGCUGAUGAUGCUCUCUCUCUCUCUUGUUGACAUUUGGAGGGGCUGAGGGAACAAGGAUUUGUUUAGUUUAAAGUAAUGUUAGAGAAAUUAAAUUUGUAAACAAAAUUUGCAAAUUAAAUGAUGUGUUACUAAUAAGAAAUUAGCACAUUUAUAAAUGUUUAAGUAAUAAUCCAAUCAUCAAUUUUGAUGCCAUUUAGUUUACAAAAUUUUGUCUACAAUUUUAGUCUCCCUAGUAUUACUCUUUAGUUUAUGGUGGAAUCUAACGAUGUGGGGAUUGAAAAUAAUGAUAUAGUUGAGCAUUGUUAGACGAGGAAUGAUAGCUAAAUUUCAUUCUUUAGUUUACUCAUAUGAGCCCAGGGAGGCCAAGGGUUUGCUUAUGGGUGGGAAAUUUACAUGAAUUGGAACACACUAUCCUAACCAACUAGUGUAACUCAUAUAAGUCCCGGGAAGCCAAGAGAUUGCUUCUGAGUGGGUUUUUGUUUUUGGUAAAGAAAGAAAAAAAAAGUAGUUUAGAUUAGAACAAGCGAGUUGAAUCUGGUAGGAGAAAAAAAAAGAUUAGCUUUUGAAAAUAAAGGUAAAUAUAGAAAAAUAAUAAUGAGUUUUUUCAAAAGAAAUAAAAAUUGUGUUUAUGUUAAUAGAAUUCAUGUUACACUUAAUAAAUGAGAAAGAUAAGUGAAAAUGCAAAUAAGGAAGGUAGCUAGAUUCUUCUAUUCACACCUCCUGCUUCUGGGUGGGUUUUUGUUUUUGGUAAAGAAAGAAAAAAAAGUAGUUUAGAUUAGAACAAGCGAGUUGAAUCUGGUAGGAGAGAAAAGAUUAGCUUUUGAAAAUAAAGGUAAAUAUAGAAAAAUAAUAAUGAGUUUUUUCAAAAUAAAUAAAAAUUGUGUUUAUGUUAAUAGAAUUCAUGUUACACUUAAUAAAUGAGAAAGAUAAGUGAAAAAUGCAAAUGAGGAAGGUAACUAGAUUCUUCUGUUCACACCUCCUCCUCAAUUCCACUCUUCACUAAUCGCUUAGUAGUAGUUGAUGAAAAUCAACUUGCGAAAUAGGAAAUAACUAAUAGUCUAUAUUAAUGAUAUAAUGAACAAAUUAACGUGAUUGUGACUUGAAAACCACCAAGAUCAACAACCAACUUUAUCAUUCACUUAACAAUAUAUGGCCCUCCUAUAAUAUUAAUAUCAAACAACAAACACUGCUAAAAUAUUAUCCCGAGAUUGAAGAAGGUGUCACGGUCCAACAAGAUGAUCGAUGAUUUACAUGAUUGUGCAAGCUGAGGGAUUUUCUUCAUAAUACCCUCUGUUGCCACUGCCGUAACUGUCAUACACAGGCCUCCCAUAAUAACCAUCAUACUGGAUGUACGGGGAUGGCCCCCCGCCAUAACCACUAUGCCACGACCCACAUGCACGCCCCUGGUAACAAUCCAUACAACACGCUUGAACAGGCGGUGGGUACCCUGGCACAUAAGGAACCGGCUGCAUAUAAAGAGGAGAAUGCUUCACUAGCUCCAUCUGUGGUAUAGACUUCUGGACCUCCUUGGGUGUGUCUGCCGGUUUAGAUUUGUCGGCCUCUUUGGGUUUUUCUAUGCCUUUAGGUUUGUCUGCAAGCUGUGGCUUGGGCUUCUCGGGCUCUUUGAUCUCGAUGCUUUUGAUAACACUCCCACCUUUGUAGCAAAUCUUGUCCCUUAUCUUUUCAGGACUGCAGCAUACCACUUUGAUCACCACUUGGUUUUGCUUCUCGUCAUAUAUCUGAUCUUGUAUUUCUCUUGUUCACAAACACACAUUAAUUUACUCAGUUUACAUUUAAUCUAAAUUAGUCUUAUUUUCCUAAAAAGAACAAACUUUAACUAUGGUUUUUCAUCAAAUAACUAUAGACGAAUCAAGGAGAAGAGAGACUCACGAGGGAAUUUACGAAGAACUUUUUUGACCUUCUUGUAGCAUUUGUGACACUGAAGAUCCACCUUCAGCACCAUAAUCGUAACCUGAAUUAUCCAUUUUUAAUAUUAAUAGAAAAAAUAUGUACAUUAACCAAAGAUUGACAAGAAUGAAUCUUCAGAAAAUAUAUAAAUAUACAGAAGAUUGUUGUACAAAAGUGUAGACAAAAAGAAAUGGAACAUUGCUGCUGGACAAUCAGGGUUCUGACUGACUGAGAGGGAAGAACCAUGGUGAAGGUAUGUGGCAAAAUCAGUAACAAAGAGAGAGAGAGAGAGAGAGAGAGAGAGAGAGAGAGAGAGGCGAAAAACAACAAAAUAGCACAGAGGAGGGGACAUGGGUUCUUAUUAGGAUAUAAAUAAAAGAAUGGGAACCACAAAAACUUAAACAAGAGCUUAAAGCCUUUUAGUUUUAGCCGUACAAAUCCUCAUUUGGGUUAUCUGCUUAUCCUUGGAAGAAGAAAAUGAAGAGAACGCAAACUAUACCAAAUAUUACGUACCUUUUCCUUUUCCCCCAUUGCAGUGAGUAGUGGAAUGAGAACUUCUCAACUAAAAUGAUUGAAUGGGACUACUGCUCUCAUGAAACCGACUUUUAUAAUUAUUAGUUAUGAGCACGCACCAUGUGUGUGAACAAUUUCAUUUUGUUUUUUGUUUAUUAAGAAGUGUGAUUAGUUUUUAAAAUUUUAAAAAGAGUAUGAAAAAAUGAUGAUGGAACAAUUUCUCUUAAUAAGUGCAUAUUUUAUCUUAAUAUUACAUAAUUACUAUUUUGCCCUCCUUAUGUAAAUAUUAUGUAUCAAAAGUGAGGGUAAAAUAGGAAAAAUAGAGAUAUGUUUGUCAUUUUCUCAAAAGAUACAAAAUUACUAUUUUGCCCUCCUUAUGUAAGUAUUGUGUAUUAAAAGUGAGAGAAAAAUUGGAAAAAUGUGCAAAAGAUACAAAAUUACUAUUUUGCACUCCAUAUGUAAGUAUUGUGUAUGAAAAGUGAGGCCAAAAUUGGAAAAAAGGGGGAAAAAGUUGACAACAAGGGUUUUCUUAAUAUAUACUAUAGAUAUAUACAUAUUUCUACAAAAAUAUAUAAAAAUAGGAAUAUAAUUCGGUGGAACAAAGCAAAGAGAAAGAGAGAAGGAGAGAGCAAUAUAGGAAGGUUGAUUUCAUGCUAUAUGGUGGACAAAAGUUUCAUUGUAACUGUAAUACGAGUGGUAUACCAUGUAUAAGUGGUGAGAAAUUUUAUUUUUUAAGUUAUUAAUUUUUUUAACACAAGUAGCUCAUUAUUUUUAUAAUAACAUGUACUGUAUCAUUCUGUAUUCUGAACACGCUGAAAGAUCUCUACAUGAUUGAGGGUUUUCGUUAUACGAAGAUAGUUUCUAAUGAUCGCUAAAAAUUGCACUUUCUUGCACAUGUAUGUGCUGGCUUUGAUUCACCCACCUCAACUUCCAUACUUGCCAUGUAUGUGCUAAUAUUAUUUUAAGUAAAUGAGUCCAUGAUCAAAAUAAAAUUACAUCCUAAGUUUAUUAAUUAUUUAAGUUCACAUAGAGUUUGGUGGAGAGGAGAGCUGCCAAUAUUAUUUCAAGAUCGCCAAAUUAAUGGAGAAAAAACUAUAUUGUAAGGUCGACAGUUUGGUCAAGUUCACUUAUGGAUCAUGCACCCCCACAUGGCACCUGUAAAUUCCUCCAGUUGUCCCUAGCUCGGUGCCACCCAUCUUUGACUAGCUACUUGAAGUUUGGUUUGCUAAUCCAAACCGGUGAAGACACGUCUAGUGAUUAGGAUAACGACUUGGAUGCAACUGAUACUUCAUCAUUUUAGAACCAGGGGUUUCGAUUUACCGGCAUACGUACAUACAUGACGCAUCACAUAUAUGUGGAAUUUGGCGUGGAAAAAAUGAAUGUAAUACCCCUAUUACCUGCAAUGUACUGGAGAGAGAAUGGAUGAUCAAAUUUCAAAAAGCGUCGGCUCCAGACGACAGAAGUGUGGCUACUGCCUAAGAAAACCGCUCCAAGUGUCCCAAUUUCAUAGAGGUGGGCUGGCUCACACGAUAGUGGUUGAUCAAUCCGAUUUGAUCUUUUCUUCUUGUUUAAGGGUUUAGCGGUCCAUUUAUUAAGUGCAUCACAGCUCAUUCAUUUGUACGUAUGACUUGAUAUGUUUCGUGUUGAUACAACCGACAUGGGAAAUGAGGAUGAGAUUAGUGGACAUUAGGUGUGUCGAUAUUUAAAUGUGAAAGUUUUAACGAAAAAUUCACGGUAUUGUUCAUUUUAACGAAAAAUCACAUUUGUACACUAAAAAAUCAAACAUGGUACCAUGCACUUUACUCUUUAUUUUAUCUUUAUCGUUAAAACUCUUUUCAAACCAUUUUCAUUGAUUUUCCUUUUAAAUUAAUUACUUGUUUACUUAAUUAUCUUUUUGGUGCAAUGAGGUUUCAAUACUAGAAAGUAGUACACUAUGUUAGAGUAAAUGUAGAAAUAUAGAAAAUCAACUAAAGAAUGACUUUGAGGUACGACUUGAAUCGUUUCUUUAAAUUGUUAUUUGUCCACACUCGAAUGUUUGCUAAAGGGUUAUUGGCAAAUCACUUCCAGGAUACAACAAAGUAUGAAAUAUUCGAUUAGCAAAACCGAAUUGUAUUCCCUUAGAAAUAACUAGAAAGAAAUUGUAUGAAUGUGAUAUGGAGAAAGAAGAGAGCAAAGAAAUUGUGUAGACAACAAAUUUCUCAAAGAAUUUUCUCUUCUUCCAAUGUUAUCAAUAUAUAGAGAGAAUUGCACAUGUUCAAGUUAAUCGAAAGUACAUAACUUUUGAAGUCAUAUUGGUUCAAUAUGUCAUAUCUGUUUGAACAUAUACAAAGCAUUAUCCAAAGGGCAUUUUAAUGAGUAUAUCUGAUGAAGAGCACCAAUUACCUAAAGAUCAUAUUUGCUAGGAAAAUGAUUACACUUGUUGACCAUGAGUCAUGUCUUUUUUGGCAACAAUCAAAAGAUGCGGUUUUUAAAUUGAAGAGAUGUGAUUGUUGGGAAGGAAUCCAACUCUAUUCUCUGCCAAUACAAAACGCACGCAUAUGCAUAUACAUAUUUUAUAUAUCUAUAUAUAUAUAUAUAUAUAUAUAUAUAUAUAUAUUCUUGAAAUAUCCUACAAUCAAGGUUUUAAAAAUCGCUAGGCGCUAAUCGGGCGGCGGGCUGGGGCCUAGCGCCUAGGCGGGGCCUAGGCGGGAGCCUAGGCGGACUAGGCGGAUUUAAGUAAAUCUAUCAUAUUUCAAGUAAAUAAGUGUCUGCUUCUACUUGAAAUAUAUAUAAUUUCAUCAUAAACUACAAAACAGAAUGCAUAUAUAUCAUGAAGUAUUGGAACAUAAUGAAAACAUGUGAAAUAAGAAUAUAAUGUUUGUUCAUUCAAGUAUGCAACAAGUCUCUUACAAUUUAUUGGAAAAAAACAAAAUACAAAAUGAAAGUUAUGUAUUUUCUGUCUAAGUGAGUUGCAACCUAGGCGGGUCUAGGCGGGCUAGGCGGAUGCCUAGGCGGGCUAGGCGGGUGCCUAGGUGGUCUAGGCGGUGGGCUGGGGCCUAGGCAUUAAUCGGGGCGGUGGGCUAGGGCCUAGCGCCUAGGUGGGGCCUAGCGCCUAGGUGGGGCCUAGGCGGGGAUUUUUAGAACAGUGCCUACAAUACACACCCUAACAAUGGUCAAAAGUAGUGUGCUGGUGUAUCAUGUUGCCUAGCUAGCUACAUAUUCAUAUUUUGUGGUUGCGAACUGGCUUAUGGGAUUGAGGCAACACAAAAAAUGGUGAGUUUUUCAGGCAACACUCAUGUGUGCCGAUCAAUUAAGAGUUCAAAAUCGUGAAAAUAUAAUGUACGUACUACGUAUACCAGUUCAAUAAAUCUUUUUUACUUUAUACAAGACCAACGUGCUUUGUCUUGUUAUUUGAUUGACUAAAGUUGUUAUCGUUUGCUAAUAUAUAUUUGUGACCUCAGCUUAUCAAGAAAUAUGAUUUAAUAAUAAUAGUUUUGUUGUCCUUUUGGCUCUCUUAAUUUGAUUCUAAACAUUAAAAUUUGAUUUCACUUUCCUGCCUGCUUCCUGCUUCUGCAUGCAUACAAUAUUGCUAAGUUUUGCAUUUUGGACAUAUGGAAUGUUUUGUAACUCAACUUUUGUCCUUGAAUUACGUUGUUUUGUGGAUGCACGGGAUCGGUGGUUAGAGAUCUCGUCUUGAUCGCUGUCAUGCAAAUAGUACAUACGUAAUACAAAGAUUAGGCAGAGGUAACUUUGUGUAAUUUCUGGUGCCGCUCUAUGCUGUGCGCAGGUGUGCGCAUCGCCUGCGCGUAACGUCUUGGAGAUGAAAUCCCAGCCUUCCACCUCUAAGGCCUUAAAACCAACGGAUGUGAUGAGUGUUAAAUCCCUUGUACGCAACCCAUGCGCAGGGGAGAAAUUCAGCCGACACUGUUUUCUCACCCUGAUCGAAUGGACUUAUAGCAGCUUCAAUAUACCCACCACAGGCCUAAGUUUGUAGAUAAAAUCACCACUAAGAAUUUGGGCCGAUUCUGAAAUAUCGAAGCCCAAACUUAGAAGAGAUUUUAAAACGGGAUUUGAGAUUUUUCGUCACCAGACUUGACCCAGCGAAGCUGGCAACGAAUACAGUACACACCCACCCACGCCCACCUAGGAAAUCCCUUAAUCUUAACGCACAAAACCCUUUGGGAAAUUGACAUUUUGAGAAAAACAUUUUGAAAAGCUUCCUGGCUCAGAAAAUGAUAAAACCAUGCAACCCAUAACCAUAUUUUAUUGUGUUAGUGCUUUGUACAAAGGAUUAAUCACCGGUGUUUAUAUAACACAUGAAAGUAACAUAUUCCUGCUCAUCUAUCUCAUUUGUAGAAGAGAUGUAAACGUUUCUAUUCGACUUUUAAUAGAUUUCUCUUCCCAUUGAGUAGAGAAACGUAAAGAGUGAGGUUCUCAUUUUGAUCCCGUUAAAAUUUGAAUGGUGUUGUUGUGUCCCAUAUAUUGGUCCCAUUGAGUACAGAAAUGUCUACAUGAUUCUAUCACAAGCAAAUAACAUGCCAUGUAUCUUGAGAAUUAUGAUAGCAGAAAUAAGCCUUAGAAAGUAAGCAUCUAAGGUCACUUCAGUCUGUGAAGGUCAGGGCCGGCCUUACGGGUAGCCAGGUAAGGCAAUCGCCUAAUUCCCCCAACUUCUAGGGGCCCCCAAAUUUUUUAUAUGUAUGUAUUAGUAUAUAAAUACUUUUAAAGUAAGACGGAUAACACAAAAAACUUGGUGGCGUAGUGGAAAGGAAAGCAUUUAUUUGGUUACCAUCUCCUGUUCAAAACAUGAUGAAGACUCCCCAAACAAGUAUUGUUUUUCCAAAUAUAAUUAGAAAGCCUAAUCUAAUAACAAUUUAGAUUAUGUAAACUCAAUUAGUACAUAUGCAUCUAAAAAUGCGAGACGGAUUCUCUAAUAUUUAUAUAUCUUUCUUGUUUUAGUAUUAAUUUUUAAUAGUAUUUGAUGUAGAAAUACAUUUUUUUUUCAUGUAUUAGCGAAUUAUUUAUUCUACAUAUCAAUGUACAAAGAGUCGGGGGUUCGAUAAUUCUAGAGCCCCACUUUUAAAGCUCGCCUAGAGCCUUCAAAUUCUCAAGCUGGCCUUGGUGAUGGUGCCAAUUGGCCUUUCCUAUAGCUUGAAUGGAAACUGAAGUUACAACCAUACACUUGUUUUGUACCUCCUGUCAUUCUCAUAUUGGAGUGACUCCCAAAUGGUUUCGUAGCAUACAAAAGGAAACUGGACUUUUUCACUUCGAUUUCUUAAAACUCAUUUAGCUAUGAUCUAACCGAUGAUGUUAUUCAAAUCACAUCAUCGACCUUGUUUCCAUCUGAUGUCCUAUCCUACAUAUAUUGAUUAUAAAUUUAAAAAGAGAGGGGGAGAGUCCAAGAGAGAGAGAGAGAGGGACAAUAGGAAAAAUGGGGAAGGGUCCCUUCCCUUCUCUUUCAAGCGCAUUACUAUUGAGUACGAUGCAAGAUUUCUAAGAACUUCACCAACUUUGUAAGACUAAUGAGAGAAGAUUUCAUAGUUCAAUUCUAAUGGUACAAAACUGUUCUCUACGCCCAGAGAGAAUUCCAAAAACAUAUAAUAGAGAACUGAGAAGCAGAAAAUACCUGUUUCACGUUACAUUUUCAGUGUGAUGAGCUUUGUCAGUAAACUAAACAGCCCAACAUCUAAAGCAGUAACUAACUCAGAUGAACUUCUAGACUCUAACCAUGACUUGACUGCAACUUUUGUUGUAAAAAACCAGCCAGCCUUGUCUAAGGCCUCAUGGAAUGGAUCAUUCAAUUCCUUCAAAUGCGACUAAAAUACACCCGCCAGACCUUUGUCUGAAUACUUAUAUUUCCCAUAUCCAGUAUUAAUUCCAAGCAACGGCAGAAGCUCCUCACCGGAUUCCAAUACCCGAGAUAGGUCAUUAAUCCAAACAUGUAAUGCAGUCAGAGCUGCCCCAAGAGAGAGGCCAUUGAGAUACAAAGACCACUGGGUCUGCGACCUUGACUGUAAGCCUAUAUAUAUCUGAAGUGUGAUCCCCAAGUCUAGUAGCUCACAGGCUCUCUCCAAGAGAUUGAGGUUCACACAAAGAUCAAUCAGGCAAUUGGAGUAAGCCUUCUUUACAUCCGAACCAAUCGAGUUAAAAAGUUGUGAAUCUUCGUUGUUGAACUUUUCACUACUUUCUUGCUUCUCCACUAAAAGUUUUAACACAUACCCUAGUUUUUCAUCAGCCCUCUCAAUGCAAUUCACAAGCUUGCAAAGUUCUUCCUUUGGUGUUUAAGUCAUCACAUUCAGGAGACAACCACAGAAACGCUCAUCUGGUGUUAUACCCAAUUCUAGGAGUUGAUUGAAUAUCUUGACAACGUCAUCAGUACGUUUUGCUUUACCCUAGCAUUGGAUGAGUGAUGUCAAAAUAAAGAUAUUUGGCUCAAAACCAACUUCCAACAUCUCAUUCAAUGUUGCUUCUGCCUCUAUGACUUUCCACACUACAAGAAUACAUGGUAAUCAUGGACGAAAAGGUCCAACUGUCAGGCUUCAGUGUUUCAAUACUCUUCAUUUCUUAAAAAAUCUCAAUGGCUUCGUCGGUGUAAACAACAUCAGCACACAUAGCUAAAAGGGUGUUAUAGAGAAUUACAUUUAACUCCAAUCCCUUUUCCUUCAUCUCUUUAUAAACAUUAAGAGCAUCAUCACAGUAACGAGCUAUACCAUAGGCCCUUAAAAGAGUUGCAUAGGUUACCCAAUUUGGUGAAAGCUCCUUGCUUAUCAUCUGUCGGUAAAUUUUCUUGGCCUGCCAAGGUCUCCUAGCUCUUCCCAUAGCAUCCAACAAAGUGUUAUAAAUAACCAAGUUUGGCUUAGCCCCUAUAGCUUUCAGUUCCUCAUAAACAUUCAAGCACCCAUCAAAAUUCCCCGAUUGCCCGUGAAUUUUGAUGAACGUAGAAAACGUCACUGGAUCAAUGCGCCGCUUCUCAGUCCUGGCCCGGUCAUACAAACUGAAAGCCAUUUCUACCUUACCCACACGUCCAUAGGCGUCAAUCAUAGCCGAAUAGGUAACAUCAUCCGGAUUACACCCAAAACCGGGAAUCUUCUCAAACCACUCCACAGCCUUAUCAAGCAAAGAACACAUCAAAGAGCAACUAAUCAUAGUCGAAAAGGUAACAUUAUCGGGGUUAACACCUCUCUGAAGUAUUUCGUCGAACAGCUUCUCUGCUCUCUCCAUAUCCUUACCCUUCCUACACACUUUCAAAGUCACAUUAUCCAAAAUCACCUCCCGCUUCGGUUUCAACCUCUGCUGAAAGUAGUUAAGCGCAAGCAAAGCAUUUUCCGGAUUGUUCAUGCUAUUCAGAACCACCACAGCGUUUGGUUCCAAAAUAUAAUCCCCUAGACCUUUUAAAGCUUCGAAAACAUCACUUUCAAUCGGAGUGCAAGAGUUCAAAUACUCAGCUACUUUCACCAAAGAAGCUUACCUGGAAUCGUAGGACUUGUGCCGCAGCUGUGAAGUUCUGGGGCUGCUGGGAUUGACCCAGAUAUAGCUUUUCGAGAAAGACCCGGAAUUUCCAUCUGGCCUCUGAAUAUUUCCAAUUUCUGGAGCUUUGGAGUUCUGGGCUUCUUCUGCAACUGGGUCUUGCAAAGAAACAUGGUGUAUUUGCAGAGAGGUUCUUGACUGAAAUUGCAGUGAAGGAAAACUGAGUCUGUGGGUGUUAAUUGCAAGGCUUAGGAGUCGGAAAUUAGUCGGGGAAGAAGAAGAAGGGAGAGAGCGGGGGGAGUUUGGGGGUUGCGGAAGAGAAAGGAGGGUGAGGAGCACAAGUGAUAAGCCAUUUUCCUCACCCUGUGGGGGAUUAUGAAAGGUGCAUUUCUUUUGCUUUGCAUUCACAGGACAAAUAUCUUUUUGAACUUGUGUCGGGCCUGGAAGUGAUUUUACGGCUUCGGAAGAUGUUCGAAGCCCAACUUGAAUUUCCAAGAGCUUUAUGAUCAGAUAAAAAGUUUAUUAAAAUAGGCAUUGUUUUGUAUAAGCAUUAAGGAAAAUGUUAUGAUUAAGCUUUUUCAUAGCAGUUUUAUCAUCGUUUUGUAGGUCCAGAUGUUCAAAAGCUUACGUGUAGGAAAGAUGAGUUUAAUAUAAAGAAAUCACAAACCAUAACAAAAUUGUGAGUGUUAGCUCAUAAAUUUUGUAGAAAAUGCAACAAUUGAUGUCAUUUAAGGUGUUCAGAAGCAUUCUUAUCGUAAUAGAAAAUUAAGAAUAAAAUCACCUCCACAUCCAAAUCUCCUUAAUGUCCCAUAAGAAUUUUAAGAUUCUUACGGUUAAAAUUUGACACAAAUAUAGGUUAUAUAUAUAUAUAUAUAUAUUUUAGGUUAUAUAUAGUUCUUGGCAAAAAAUCUAUAAAUCAAUAAAACACCGUAAAUAUUAGCUCACGAGAAAAUAUUAAAUUAACUAUUGAGCAUAAGAAUAUGUUGCAGAGGUAGAAAAAUGUUACGAGCCGUUAGGAAAUGGUGGGUUUUUGUAGGGUAUCAGCCGGAAUACAAACAUGGUGUUGGAUUAGUAGACACGUGGGGUUUUGGCUUUUGCUUAUUUUUGUAUAAACAUAUCAAUUAAUUCUCGAACAAACAAAAGGAGAAUGGAAUGAAAAGCAGGCAUAGGAGUAGUUCUUGUUUCUGGGAACACAUUAUUAUACACGUAUCUAGGUUGCUGCUGCCGCUCUCUCUCUCUCUCUCUCUCUCUCUCUCUCUCUCUCUCUCUCUCUCUCGUCGACAUUUGGAGGGGCCGAGGGAUCAAGGAUUUGUUUAAUUUAGAGUAAUGUUAAGAAAACAAAAUUUAUAAAUAAAAUUUACAAAUUAAAUGAUGUGUCGCUAAUAAGAAAUUAACACAUUUAUAAACGUUUAAGUAAUAAUCAAAUCAUCAACUUUCAUGUCAUUUAGUUAAUAAAAUUUAGUCUACAAAUUUAGUCUUCUUAAUAUUACUCUUUAGUUUAUGGUAGAAUCUAACUAUGUGGGGCUGAAAAUGAUAUAGUUGAGCAUUGUUAGACGAGAAAUGGUAGCUAAAUUUCAUUCUUUAGUUUACUCAUAUGAGCCCUGGGAGGCCAAGGAACACAUUAUCUUGAUCAAAUAGUGUAACUCAUAUAAGCUUCAGAAGAUAAGAGAUUGCUUCGGGAUGGGUUUUUGUUUUUGUAAAGAAAGAAAAAAAUAUAGUUUAGAUUAGAACAUGCUGGUAGGAGAGAAAAAUGGUUAGCUUUUGGAAAUAUAGGUAAAUAUAGAAAAAUAAUAAUGAGUUUUUUUAAAAGAAAUCAAAAUUUUGUUUGUGUUAAUAGAGUUCAUGUUACAUUUAAUAAAUGAGAAAGAUACGUAGCUAGAUUCUUCUGUUCACACCUCCUCAAUUCCACUCUUGACCAAUAAGAACGCACGCGCACGCACUGUGCAGGACAAAGAAGGGAAUGUGGAAUGGAAACUUUUAUUGCAUUGAAAAUUGUAGCAGCCACCAACUUCAUCUUCAUCUUCAUCUUCAUGAUGAGAUGUAUCUCUCUCUCUAUAGUCUAUACUAAUGAUAUAAGAACAGAUUAACGUGAUUGUGACUUGACAACCACCAAGAUCAACGACCAACUUUAUUAUUCACUUAACAAUAUAUGACCCUCCUAUAAUAUUAAUAUCGAACACUGCUAAAAUAUUAUCCCGAGAUUGAAGAAGUUAUCACGGUCCAACAAGAUGAUCGAUGAUUUACAUGACUGUGCAAGCUGAGGGAUUUUCUUCACUGAAACAGUCAGGGCGGGUAACGCAAUACCCCCUGUUGCCACCACCGUAACUGUCAUACACAGGCCUCCCAUAGUAACCAUCAUACUGGAUGUACGAGGCUAGCCCCCCGCUAUAACCACUGUGGCACGGCCCAGCUGCAUGCCCCUGGUAACAAUCCAUACAACACGCUUGGACAUGCGAUGAGGGUCCAGGAUUUAGCAGGCCAACUUUAGGUUUACCGUCAUCUUUAGGCGUACUGUCAUCUUUAGGCUUACCGUCACCUUUAGGCUUGCCGUCAUCUUUAGGCUUACCUUCAUCUUUAGGCUUACUGUCAGCUUUAGGCUUGCCUUCAUCUUUAGGCUUACCGUCAGCUUUAGGCUUGCCAUCAUCUUUGGGUGCUUUGGGCUUGCCGUCAUCUUUGGGUGCCUUGGGCUUCUCGGGCUCUUUGAUCUCAAUGCUUUUGAUGGCACUCCCACCUUUGCAGCAAAUCUUGUCCCUCAUCUUUUCUGGACUGCAGCAUACCACUUUGAUAACCACUUGGUUUUGCUUCUCGUCGUAUAUCUGGUCUCGUAUUUCUCUUGUUCACAAACACACAUUAAUUUACUCAGUUUACAUUUAAUCUAAAUUAAUCUUAUUUUCCCAAAAAGAAAGAACUUUAACUUUGGUAUUUCAUCAAAUAACCAUAUAGAUGAAUCAAGGAGAAAAGAGACUCACGUGGGAAUUUACAAAGAACUUUUUUAACCUUCUUGUAGCAUUUGUGACACUGAAGAUCUACCUUCAGCACCAUAAUCGUAACCUGAAUUAUCCAUUUUUAAUAUUAAUAGAAAAAAUAUGUGCAUUAACCAAAGAUUGACAAGAAUGAAUCUUCAGAAAAUAUAUAAAUAUACAGAAGAUUGUUGUGCAAAAGUGUAGACAAAAAGAAGUGGAACAGUGCUGCUGGACAAUCAGGGUUCUAACUGACUGACAGGGAAGAAUCAUGGUGAAAGUAUGUGGCCAAAUCUGUAACACAGAGAGAGAGAGAGAGAGAGAGAGAGAGAGAGAGAGAGAGAGAGAGAGGCAAAAAGCAACAAAAUAGCACAGAGGAAGGGACUUGGAGACUUAUUAGGAUAUAAAAAAAAAAGAACAGGAACCACAAAACUUAAACAAGAGCUUAAAGCCUUUUAGUUUUAGCCAUACAAUCAUCAUUUGGGUUAUCUACUUAUCCUUGGAAGAAGAAAAUGAAGAGAACACAAACUAUACCAAAUAUUACGUACCUUUUCCUUUUCCCCCAUUGCAGUGAGUAGUGGAUGCUCUCAGGCUCAGAUCUGGACGAGAACUUCUCAACUAAAAUGAUUGAAUGGGACAAAAACUUUAACGAAAUCAACUUUUAUAAUUAUAUAUGCAUAUUUAUACAAAAAUAUAUAAAAAUAGGAAUACAAUUCGGUGGAACAAAACAGAGAGAGAGAGAGAGAGAGAGAGAGAGAGAGAAGGAGAGAGCAAUAUUUGAUUAAAGUGGCUUAUUAAAAAAAAAUAUGACAAAUUGCUUGUUAAGAAAGAGUGAAAAAGAAAGAGGGAGAGAGCGCACAAUAGUUCGUACAUAGGGCGAAUGGGCUGCGAACACGUUGAUAUCGGUAGGUUGAUCCCACGCUAUGGUGGACAAAAGUUUCAUUGUAACUGUAAUACGGAUAAUACAACAUGUGUCAGUGAUGGAAAAUUUUAAUUUUUAAGUUAUUAAUUUUUUAACACAAGUAGCUCAUUAUUUUUAUAAUAACAUGUGAUGUAACAUUCUAUAUUUUGGACACACUAAAAGUUAUGUCAUUAUAAUAAUUGAGAGUUGUCGUUAUAGAGGCAGAUUGUCUACCCUCCUGUUUGGGUGCCCAUCUCAUCCUCACAUAUUUUGUGCGGUCAUGGUUAAACCACGUUUACAUUUUAUAUGCUCAUUAUUUUUUGUCUUAUUAUCUUUAUAAAAAAAAUUAAUAUAAAAUAUUGACGUGCCUUAACUGUAACCGUACAGAUAGAAGAUGAUGAAAAAAACACCUAAACAGGAGGCAGACAAUACGCCUCCUCGUUAUACGAAGAUAGGUGACUUCCUGAUGAUCGCUAAAAGUUGAAAUUUCUUGCACAUGCAUGUGCUGGCUUUGAUUCACCCACCUCACCUUCCAUACUUUCCAACUUCCUGCUAAUAUUAUUAUAAGUAAAUGAUUAAUUAUCAAAAUAAAAUUACAUCCUAAGUUAAUUAUAAUUAUUAAAGUUCACAUAGAGUUUGGUGGAGAGGAGAGAUGCCAAUAUUAUUUCAAGAUCGUCAAAUUAAUGGAGAAAAAACUAUAUUGUAGGGUCGAUAGUUUGGUCAAGUGCAAUUAUGGAUCAUGCACCCCCACAUGGCACAUGGAAAUUCCUCCAGUUGUCCCUACAUCUUAAGUAACAACAGGUGCCACCCAUCUUUGACUAGCUACUUGAAGUUUGGUUUGUUAAUCCAAACCGGUGAAGAAACGUCUGGUAAUUAGGUUGGAGUAGGAUUCUUUAUCCUUUUAUUUCCAUUCUUUUUUCUUCCCUUCUCUUACAUGUUACUUUUUGUCUUAUUGUUUUUAUAAAAAAAAUCAAUAUAAAAUGUUGACGUAACUAAACCAUAAUCAUUCAAAUAAAAGAAGAGGGAAAAAAAGAGAGAUUAAGAGGAAAGCGAAUCCUCUUCCAAUUAGGAUAACGAUUUUCAUUCAAUUGAUAUGGCAUCAUUUUAGAACCACACGUACAUACAUGCUGCAUCAUAAACCCUAUUACCUGCAAUGUACCGGACAGAGAAUGGAUGAUCAAAAUCCAAAAAGCGUGGGCUCCAGAUGACAAGAGCGUGGCUGAGGUUCAAAUGUCCCAAUUUCAUAGAGGUGGGUUGCUCACACAAUAGUGGUUGAUCAAUCCGAUUUGAUCUUUUCUUCUUGUACGUAAGUGCAUCACAGCUCAUUCAUUUGUACGUAAGACUUGAUAUGUUUCGUUUUGAUACAACCGACAAGAAAAUGAGGAUGAGAUUAGUGGACAUUAGGUGCAACGAUAUUUAAAUUAAUUAGUCGUUCACUUAAUUAUCUUUGUUUCAAGACUAGAAGUAGUACACUACACACCCUAACAAUGGUCAAAAGUGGGGAGUAUGAUUCUCUACCCUUCCAUGUCCUUCUAUUUGAACGGUCACGGUUAAGUCAUGUCCUCCUAUUUGAAUGGUUAAAUAUGAUUUAAUAAUAAUAGUUUUGUUGUCCUUUGGCUCUCUUGAUUUGAUUCUAUACAUUAAAAAUUGAUUUCACUUUCCUGCCUGCUUCCUGCUUCUGCAUACAUACAAUAUGGCUAAGCUUUGCAUUUUGGACAUAUCGAAUGUUUUUUAACUCAACUUUUGUCUUUGAAUUACGUUGUUUUGUGGAUGCACGGGAUCGGUGGUUAGAUAUCUCGUCUUGAACGCUGUCGUGCAAAUAGUACAUACGUAAUACAAAGAUUAGGCAGAGGUAACUUUGCGUAAUUUCUGGUGCCGCUCUAUGCUGUGCGCAGGUGUGCGCAUCGCCUGCGCAUAACGUCUUGGAGAUGAAAUCCCAGCCUUCGACCUCUAAGGCCUUAAAACCAACGGAUGUGAUGAGUGUUAAAUCCCUUGUACGCAACCCCAUGCGCAGGGGAGAAAUUCUGCCGACACUGUUUUCUCACCCUGAACGAAUGGACUUAUAGCAGCUUCAAUAUACCCACCACAGGCCUAAGUUUGUAGAUAAAAAUCACAACGAUGAAUUUGGGCCGAUUCUGAAAUAUCGAAGCCCAAACCUAGAAGAGAUUUUAAAAUGGAUUUUAGAUUUUUCGUCACCAGACUCGACCCAGCAAAGUUGGCAACUAAUACAGUACACACCCACCCACCCACGCCCACCUAGGGAAUCCCUUGAUCUUAACGCACAAAACCCUUUGGGAAAUUGACAUUUUGAGAAAAACUUUUUUAUAAGCUUCCUGGCUCAGAAAAUGAUAAAACCAUGCAACCAAUAACCAUAUUUUCUUGUCUUAGUGCACUGUACAAGGGAUUAAUCGGCGGUGUCUAUACAUAACACAUGAAAGUUAACAUUAUUCCUGCUCAUCUAUCUCAUUUGUAGAAGAGAUGUAAACGUUUAUAUUUAACUUUUAAUAGAUUUCUCUUCCCAUCUAGUAGAGAAACAUAAAGAGUGAGGUUUUUACAUUUUGAUCCCGUUAAAAUCUGAAUGGUAUUUUUCUGUCCCAUAUAUUGGUCCCAUUGAGUAGAGAAAUGUCUACAUGAUUCUAUCACAAGCAAAUAACAUGUCUUGUAUCUCGAGAAUUAUAAUAGCGGAAAUAAGCCUAAAAAGUAAGCAUCUAAGGUCACUUUAGUCUAUGAUGGUCAGGGGCGGCCCUGAGGGUAGCCUGGUAAGGCAACUGCCUAAGGCCCUCAACUUCUGGGGGCCCCCAUUUUUUUUUUAUAUGUAUAUAUAGUGUAUAAAUACUUUUAAAGUAAGAAGGAUAACACAAAAAACUUGGUGGCGUAGUGGAAAAGAAGGCAUUUAUUUGGUUACCAUCUCUUGUUUGAAACAUGAUGAAGACUCCCCAAACAAGUAUUGUUUUUCCAAAUAUAAUUAGAAAGCCUAAUCUAAUAACAAUUUGGAUUAUGUAAACUCAAUUGGUACAGUUGCAUCUAAAAAUGCGACACAUGUAUUAUCUAAUGUUUAUAUAUCUUUCUUGUUAUAGUAUUAAUUUUUAAUGGUAUUUGAUGUAGAAAUACAUUUUUUUAAUGUAUUAACAAAUUAUUUUUUCUACAUAUCAAUGUACAAAGAGUUGGGGAUUCAAUGAUUCUAGAAUCCCACUUUUAAAGCUCGCCUAGAGCCUUCAAAUUCACAAGGUCGGCCCUGGUGACGGUUUUUGUACCUCCUGUCAUUCUCAUGUUGGAGUGACUCCCAAAUGGUUUUGAUCAUAAGGAAUUUUCAAAACUUUCGUAGCAUACAAAAGGAAACUGGACUUUUUCACUUCUUCGAUUUCUUAAACCUCAUUCAGCUAUGAUCUAACCGAUGAUGUUAUUCAAAUCACAUCACACAUAUAGGCGCAUUACUACUGAGUACGAGGAUGGAUUUCUAAGAACUUCACUAACUUUGUAAGACUAAUGAAAGAAGAUUUCAUAGUUGAAUUCUAAUGGUACAAAACGGUUCUCUACGCCCAAAGAGAAUUCCAAAAACAUAUAAAUAGAGAACUGAGAAGCAGCAAAUACCAGUUUCACAUUGCAGUUUUAGUGUGAUGAGUUUUCCAGUAAACUAAACAGCCCAACAUCUAAGCAGUAACUAACUCAGAUGAACUUCUAGACUCUAACCAUAACUUGACUGCAACUUCUAUUGUAAAAAACCAGCUAGCCUUGUCUAAGGCCUCAUGGAAUAGAGCAUUCAAUUCCUUCAAAUGCGACUCAAAUGCACUCACCACACCUUUGUCUGGAACUUAUGUUUCCCAUGUCCAUUAUUAAUUCCAAACAACGGCGAAAGCUCCUCACCGGAUUCCAAUACCCAAGAUAGGUCAUUGAUCCAAACAAGUAAUGCAGUCAGAGCUGCCCCAAGAGAGAGGCCCUUAAGAUACAAAAAUCACUGGGUCUGAGACCUUGACUGUAAGCCUAUGUAUAUCUGAAGUGUGAUCCCCAAGUCUAGUAGCUCACAGGCUCUCUCCAAGAGAUUGAGGUUCACACAAAGAUCAAUCAGGCAAUUGUAGUAAGCCUUCUUUACAUCUGAACCAAUCGAGUUAAAAAGUUGUGAUGCUUCGUUCUUUAAGUUUUCACUACUUUCUUGCUUUUCCACCAAAAGUUACCACAUCCCCUAGUUUUUCAUCAGCAAUCUCAAUGCAAUUCACAAGCUUGCAAUGUUCGUCCUUUGGUGUUUGAGUCAUCACAUUCAGGAGCUUGCAAAGUUCUUGCAAAGUUCUUCCUUUGGUGUUUGGGUCAUCACAUUCAAGAGAUAACCACAGAAACGCUCAUCGGGUGUUAUUCCCAAUUCUAGGAGUUGAUUGAAUAUUUUGACAACGUCAUCAAUGCGUUUUGCCUUACCGUAGCAUUGGAUGAGUGAUGUCAAAAUAAAGAUAUUCGGCUCGAAACCAGCUUCCAACAUCUCAUUCAAUGUUGCUUCUGCCUCUAUGACUUUCCCGCUACAAGAAUAUAUGGUAAUCAUGAACGAAAAGGUCCAACUGUCAGGCUUCAAUGUUUCAGAACUCUUCAUUUCUUCAAAAAUCUCAACGGCUUCGUCGGUGUAACCAACAUCAGCACACAUAGGUAAAUGGGUGUUAUGGAGAAUUACAUUUAACUCCAGUCCCUUUUCCUAAAGAGCAUCAUCACAGUAACGAGCUCUACCAUAGGCCCUUAAAAGAGUUGCAUAGGUUACCCAAUUUGGUGAAAGCUCAUUGCUGAUCAUCUCUCGGUAAAUUUUCUUGGCCUGCCAAGGCCUCCUAGCUCUUCCCAUAGCAUCCAACAAAGUGUUAUAAAUAACCAAGUUUGGCUUAGCCCCUAUAGCUUUCAUUUCUUCAUAAACAUUCAAGCACCCAUCAAAAUACCCUGAUUGCCCGUGAAUUUUGAUCAAUGUAGAAAAUGUCACUGGAUCAAUGCGCCACUUCUCGGUCCUAGCUCGGUCAUACAAACAUGGUGUUGGAUUAGACAAGUGGGGUUUUAGCUUUUGCUUAUUUGUGUAUAAACAUAUCAAUCAAUUCUCGAACAAACAAAACGAGGAAUGAAAAGCAGGCCUAGGAGUAGUUCUAUUUUCUGGGAACACAUUAUUACACACGUAUCUAGGUUGCUGCUGCUGCUUUUUCUCUCUUGUCGACAUUUGCAGGCGAAGAGGGAUCAAGGAUUUGUUUACUUUAGAGUAAUGUUAGGAAACUAAAUUUGUAAAUAAAUUUGCAAAUUAAAUGAUAUGUCAUUAACACUUAAGUAAUAAUCAGAUCAUCAACCUUCAUGUCAUUUAGUUUACAAAAUUUUGUUUACAAAUUUAAUCUCCCUAGCUACUCUUUAGUUUAUGGUAGAAUCUAACAAUGUGGGGAUUGAAAAUAAUGAUAUAGUUGAGCAUUGUUAGACGAGGAAUGGUAGCUAAAUUUCAUUCUUUAGUUUACUCAUAUGAGCCCUGGGAGGCCAAGGGUUUGCUUAUGGGUUAGGAAUUUACGUGGAUUGAAACACACUACCUGAUCAAUUAGUGUAACUCAUAUAAAUUCUGGGAAACCAAGAGAUUGCUUCUGGGUGGGUUUUUGUUUUUGGUAAUGAAAGAAGAAAAAAAAUAGUUUAGAUUAGCACACGCUAUGGUAGGAGAGAAAAAAGGUUAACUUUUGGAAAUAAAGGUAAAUAUAGAAAAAUAAUAAUGAGUUUUUUAAAAGAUAUAAAAAUUUUGUUUGUGUUAAUAGAAUUCAUGUUACGCUUAAUAAAUGAGAAAGAUAAGUGUAAAAUGCAAAUGAGGAAGGUAGCUAGAUUCUUCUGUUCACACCUCCUCAAUUACACUCUUGACUAAUUGUUUAUUAGUAGUUGAUGAAAAUCAACUUGCGAAAUAGGAAAUAACUAAUAAUGCACGUGCAGUGUGCAGGACAAAGAAGGGAACGUGGAGUGGAAACUUAUAUUGCAUUGAAAAUUGUAGCAGGCACCAACUUCAUCUUCAUCUUCAUGAUGGGAUGUAUUUCUUUCUCUCUAUGGUCUAUAUUAAUGAUUUAAAGAACAGAAUAACAUGAUUGGGACUUGACAAUGUUCAUGUGACUUGACAACCACGAACUUUAUUAUUCACUUAACAGUAUACAUGGCCAUUGGAACUGAACCGUUAACACGACCUGUUAAUAUUAGUAUUUGGAUGAAUAUUUAACGGGUCGGAUCGUUAACAGGUUGCUAAUGUGAACCCGUUAACAACUCACAUUAGUAACCCGUUAAAUAACGGGUCACUUUGGAUCAACCCGUGAACACCCAUUAGUUAAGGAUGUUUUAGUAAUUUCAGUAAAGUCUUAACAACAAAAUAUAAACUCUAUGAAAAAAAAAAAUAAUAAUAAUAGUUGUUAACGGAUGAAACGGGUGACCUGUUAGCUUAACGGGUUGGGUUCGGAUGAUCCAUUAACUUAACGGGUCAGGUUUAACCCGACCCAAAUCCAAUAAACCCAACCCGUUUACAGGUAUACUCUUAGGUGUGGUUUGGGGUUGAGAUUAUUUAAAAAAGAAAGUUGAGAUAAAAAAAAAGCUAGAGUAAAAUUUGUGUUUGGUAACUCACAGCGCGUUUACUAAUCCGUAAUCAAAUUGAGGGGAAUUGAAUUGAUGGGGAAUUGGAUUGAGGAGGAAUGGAAAUGAGGUGGAAUCAGAAUCAGAUUCAUGUUGUAGUUGUUUACUAAAACUGUCUGGAAUCGGAGUAGAAAUGACAUUAAACUAUAUAAAGUGUUUACUGAUUCACAUGAAUCGGAAUGAAAACUAAUGCGAUUACUAAAAUGCCCCUAUUUUAACCAAUUUAUUUUAUAUGUUAAUUAUUUUAAAUAAAAUUUUUAUCGUUUUAUUUUUAUUUUGAUUACUAUACAGAAUUUACAAAUAUGUAUUCUUGCUGGUAGAGAAGCUCUAGACAUAUGUAGAAGAGUCUUUAAUCACAUAGAAUUGUCCAAAUUUGAUCAUUUUUUAUUUGCUUCAUCCUAAACCGUAUUAGAUCAAAUUUACUUCCUUUUCUCUCUCUCCCUGUUUCCCCCAUUUUUCUCUGCAGCUGCUUGACCAGAUCUCGUUGCGGCAUCGUUCCACAUCGCGUUCGUCGUUGCGGCACCGUUCCAAUCGCGUUUGUCGUUGUUCCAUAUUCUUCUCUGCAUACACAGAAGAGAGAGAGGAGAGAGAGAGAGAACACGACGGCUCUGCAUUUUCUGGCGUCACUGUAGCUACGUGGGCAUUCUUCCCCUUCCAGUAAGUUGCUUCAGGUUCACUGCUUUUUCUUCUUCAUCAUCGUCGUCGUCUUCUUCUUCUUCUUCUUUUGUUGGGUGCUGUGGACGCAGGGGGCUUGGUUUUCUGGAAACAGCACGAAGCUUUGAUCGUAUACAUGGGUAUUUUGGGUACAAAAUUUUGAUUCCUGAUGGAGUGUUCUACCCGGAACUCAAAUACUACCUCUAUAGAGGUAAUCCAAUUCCGGGCAAUUCUGGAGUUGAAUUCCUGAUAUUGGGUGGUCCCCACAUAAAUUUUGAUUCCCUAAUUGCGAGUAUACGUCAGAAUGCAUUGGGGAAUAUCCAAUUUCGUUUCUCUCGAUUCCAAUCCCGAUAGGUAAACACGCCCUCAGCUUAUUUUCAAAGUCACUGUCAUUUUAAGCUGAAAAGUGGAAAAAAGCUGAAGCAGCAAAAUGCAGCUUCUCAAAACCAGCUUUUUUUUUUUCAAGAGGCAGGUGAACAGUAGAAUUUAAUGAAACUUUCACAAUCUCAGAAAUACCCUCCUCAAUUUCUCCUUCUUGCUGCAUUGAGCUCUUCAUGAGUCUCUGUCUCUGUCUCUUCUUUCUCUUUCUAGAACCAGAAGCUCUAAGUCCUUAAGGUUCAUUUUGGUUUCGGAUCGGGUCCUGCAUUUGUAUAAAUCGGAGCUGUUUGAUCGGCGCUAGAACGGAUUCGGAUUUCAACAAUCGAAUUCGCUUUUUGUCUAAUUGGAUGGUCUGAUUGGGGUUGAAGAUGAAUCCGCUCUGCUGCAUUGCAUCGGUUUCGAUGGAUCGCGACCGGGGCACCCCGGUGGCGGUGAAAAUGAAGAAUUUUGAUCUGGGUUUUUUCACAAAAAAAAAAGAAGGUGAUUUGAGCUUUUCAAAGAGAGGAUUUGGAUGGAGUGCUUGCAGUUGUAUCAUUGAAGAAGAAGACCAGAGGAUAAUAUAAUGGAAUAAAAAAUGGCAAAAGUGGAUUAAAAUAUCGUAAGAAUAAUGAGUAGAUAAUGCUGGAAUGAAAUAUAAAAAAAUGGCAAUAGUGGAUUAAAAAUUGUAAAGAAAAUUAACCUAUAUUUGUUAAGAAAAUUAAAUUAAUAGCACAUAUAGUAUUAUAUUUGUUAAGAAAAUUAAAUUAAUAGCACAUAUAGUAUUAUACCUUUUUUGGUCAUUUUACACAGUCACAAUUGUUUUACAUAAAAGUUUACCAAACACUAUCAUACUGCUUUUUUUUUUCAAAAACACUUUUACACAAAAGUUUACCAAACAUUCUGCUGUUUUAUUUCACAGCCGCUUAUUCUUACAGCACAGCAGAAACAGUUUUUUUUCAAAGUAUAACAAUACCAAAUCAACCCUUAUAAUAAUAGGAAGUUUUAACGAAAACUACCUUUAUUUAUCAUUUUACAUUAAACCUAAGUAUUUUUUUUGGAUUUUUUGUCCGUUUUCCUAUAAUAUUAAUAUCAACCGACAAACACUGCUAAAAUAUUAUCCCUAGAUUGAAAAAGGUGUCACGGUCCAACAAGAUGAUCGAUGAUUUACAUGACUGGGCAAGCUGAGGGAUUUUCUUCACUGAAAUAGUCAGGGUGAGUAACACAAUACCCCAUGUUGUCACCGCCGUAACUGUUAUACACAGGCCUCCUAUAGUAACCAUCAUAUUGGAUGUACGGGGCUGGCCGCCCGCCAUAACCACUGUAGCAGGGCCGCUCGCCACAACCAUUGUAGCAUGGCCGCCCGCCACAACCACUGUAGCAUGGCCGCCGCCACAACCACUGUAGCACGGGCCAUCUGCAUGCCCCUGGUAACAAUCCAUACAACAUGUGCGGACAGGCAUUGGGUACCCUAGCACAGCAAGAUCUUUAGGCUUGCAAUCAUCUUUUUUUUUACCGCCAUAACCACUGCAGCACGGCCCACCUACAUGCCCCUGGCAACAAUCCAUACAACACACUGUGACAGGUGGUGGGCACUUUGGCACAACAGGAUCAUUAGGCUUGCAGUCAUCUUUUUUAUUGCCGCCAUAACCACUGCAGCACGGGCCACCUGCAUGCCCCUGGCAACAAUCCAUACAACAUGUUCGUACAGGCGGUGGGCACUCUGGCACAACAGGAUCUUUCUUACCGUCACAUUUAGGUUUGUUGUCACAUUUAGGUUUGUCAUCACAUUUAGGCUUACAGUCACAUUUAGGCUUGCCGCCACAUUCAUGCUUGUUGUCACCUUUAGUCUCGGGCUUGCUGUCACCUUUAGUCUCGGGCUUGUUGUCAUCUUUGGGCUUCUCGGGCUCCUUGAUCUUGAUGCUUUUGAUGGCACUCCCACCUUUGCAGCAAAUCUUGUCCCUUAUCUUUUCUGGAUUGCAGCAUACCACUUUGAUCACCACUUGGUUUUGCUUCUCGUUGUAUUUCUGGUCUCGUAUUUCUCCUGUUCACAAACACAC